This 87724-nucleotide long non-coding RNA is filed under the name Marmota monax (woodchuck). Lineage: Eukaryota; Metazoa; Chordata; Mammalia; Rodentia; Sciuridae. The record is from RNAcentral.
GGUGGCUGGGCCGGCGGCGGCGGCGGUACGAGGCGCGCGCUCGGGGUCCCGGUCGCGAGGAGGAGGAGGAUGUGGCGCGCGGAGGGGAAAUGGCUGCCGAAAACAAGCCGGAAGGUAAGAGCCGGAGCGCGAGGGCCCGGGGGGCGGCUCGGCGGGCGGCGGGACGCGGCCCCGCCGGACAUCCCAGGCAUCGGCGGCGCCGGGCGGGAGCGCGGGGGCGCGGCGGGCGGGCGCCCCGGCCGGGGAGGGGGCCGGCGGGGUUGGGGGGGGCGGAGCGCGGCCGAGUCCUGAGGUGACUCGCGGGGCGACGGAGCGCGGCGCCCCGCACCCCACCCCCGGGGGCGGGCUGGGCCGGGGGGGGCGGGGGGCGCGCGGGGCGGGGGCCGGGCCCAGCGAGGAGGAGGAGCCGCGGAGGGCCGGCGCCUCCCCCACCCGGACCGGGCAUCCCUACCGCUCGCGAGCUCGCGGCGCCCGCGCCCCUCGCGGCGGGCCCGGGGUGGGGGCCGCGGGGCGGAAAGUUUAUCCGCCUCGGGCCCCUGGCCCCGGCCGGGCCGCUCGGGCCGGUCCCCGUCGGGCGGCAGCGGCGGCGCUCAGCCCUCGCGGGCCGCCUGCUCCCGGCGGCGGGCAGGGCCGGACGUACUCUGGCAGCCCCCGCCGGCUCCCCGACGCCUCCCCGCCAGGCGGGGGUCCCCGCGCCGGUCCCCGCCAGGGGGACCCUCUCCCGCUGAGCGUGCCUCGGCCGAGGGCCUCGUGUGACCCCUCCCCCUUCGCCUCUCGGGGAGAGAAGGGGGCCUGCGCAGCAUCCCCGCCCCUCACCGCCCUGCACAUCCUACUCUUGCCCUUGCACCCUCGCAGCCUGGAGGGUGGGGUCUCGGUUUCGGUGGCUAGUGAGGCUCUCCACACUCCCUUGCCCUUUACCUUCGGUGACCCCGAUCGUCGCUUGGCAUAGGGGUCCGUCUGAGCCUCUCCCUUCCAUGGAACCUUUUGGGGCCUCUGCACUCUGUCUGUUGACCCUUUUUGCCAGGACUCGGGGGACUCGGGCCACCGCUGUUCUUUCCUCGCCCAGUGAUCCUGGGGGCCUGUGCAGCUCUGAAGUCAUUUCUAAAUGGGAGAGCAGACACUUCUUCAGAUUGUGUGCACUCUCCGCACACUUUCCUGGGUUAGGGUGAGCUCAUUCCCUGAAUACCCUUUGAAUUGCCCUCUUUUUCUUAGGUAGAAAACUGGAUGGUCAGUGCUCCUUUCUCCAGUUGUCUAUGUACCUUGACGUCUUCUUUCUCCUUGGAGUUCCCAGUCUUGAGGGUGGGUGCCCUAAUGAGAUGUAGGACAGGGCUUCUGUUGUGCCUAGCACUUGAGUAAAAAGGGGCCACAACAAUUACUCCCAUGUCGGAGGAAAACAAAGGUGUAAUUUUUACUUCUAGUUGAUUCUUGCAUCUUCGGGGGGGGGGGGGCAACCUUCACCAGUUGACACUAUCCCACUGGGAGAAGAGUCGUGUGCCCUUGGCUUUUGGUGUUCUGAUUACUGUCUUCUGUGCAAUAGGAACCAGACUUUGAACGUCCCACACUCAAGUGUCUUUGAACCUACCCUGGAAAUAAACUUUCCAAUUUCUCUUUUGAGAGGACUCAUAUCCUCCUUAUGGCUUCUGUUUCCUAGUCAGCCAUAUUUAGUGAGCCUGUUACCUUGACUUUUUCUAAUUUUCUCAAAUUGUAUUCAUGUUGGCUGGGUAAGGAGAAGCCAUAUGCCUUUCCAUCCAGAAUAGGGAGUGUAGACACCCAUGUCGCCCACGUGCCAUUCGGGAAGAGGUAGCUUGUGUGCUUCUUGUUGUACUAGAACCUUCCUUUGGCCCUGGUAGUGUCUCUUGUGGGAUCCAAACAUUUCUUUGGAUUUUGUAUCUUUUAGGCAAAUGGGAAAUUUGAAUGCUUUCUAUUUUCUGCUGCUCUGGUUCUCUUUGGUGAAACAGAUCAUCUUGAUGCUGUACUUAUUUGUUGACAUAUAUACAUAUAGGUCUGUAUGCAAAGAUAAAAUAAUAUUCUUUACAUAUACAGAGAAAAAGUUAGAAGGAUUAGGUGACUAGCUCUAUACUUUGGGUGUGUGAGGGGACUGUUACAUGCAAGAAUAUAAAUAUAUAUUACUUUUGUUGGUAACUGUUCAGGCUUAGGAGAACCAGAAGAAGAAUCACUGAUAAAUGGCCAGUUUUCACCACUCUUUUAUUUGUCAUUUGCACUGUACUGAAUAAGCAGAAUGACAUCCUGAAUGUUCACCAUGUCCCUGCUUAUGUGAAACGUAGAGUGCUUGUGGAUGAGCAUUCUGAAUUUAGGGGCAGUAUUCUUUGCUUUUUCUUCAUGGGGUGAAAAGUUCUUAUAUUUAUUUCUUUAUUGCAGUGUAGGGGAAGGAGGUUUCCUGUGUUUUGGGCAAAUGAUAGGAAAUGGGUGAGAAGAAUCUGUUUCUCUGUGACAGAACUAGGAAGGAAAGGCCACAUAAACACAUUCCUGCUGGAUUUUGGCCAUUUAAUAAGGAGAGAGGCUGUUAAAUUAGGAAAAGGUACAUUUGGAAAGGCCCUUGCCACUUCCUGAGAGGGUAGGAAGAUUAUUCCUGAGGUUUUUUUUUUUUUUUUUUUUCCCCUCUCCUCUGGGGAAGGGGAAUGGUGAGAGCCCUGUGGGCUGGGCUCUGGUUAGAGUUUUACCUCCUGGUCUUCACCCCUCCUUCCCUGCUGUCACUCUGAAUUAAAGUCUGUGUUUUUGACAGGCUUAGUGUGGAGACUUACUCUCCUCAGUGGGCUUGUUGGGCUGUGAGAAUUGGACCUUGGAGCACUUUUCUAGCAAGGAGACUCAACCUCGAUUUCCUGAGUAAGAAGAUAUAACCACUUAGAAGUUUGGAUAGCACUGGGUUUGGACUGCUGGAUUUUGCCAUUCAGUUAAUAUUGAGCUGUCCAUUGAGUAUGAUAACCGUUGGCAGAAAGAGCUUUUGACCUCCUUUUUGCUUUUCUUUUUGAGUUUCUUUUAGUUUUUAAGCUGUUUUGUCUGUAUCUGUAAUCAGCUUGAUCGAGUUGUGUAUUUUAGGGGUAAUGUUAGUCUUAGAAAAAUCAAGUCAAAUACCUGCUGUGUAUGUUGGCGCAAACCCAGAAGAGUUAUCUCAUUUCCCAUGCUAGCUCUUUCCUGCCCUUCUCUAGGCCACUGCCUGCCUUUGGGAGUCUUCGCCGUGGAACAAGGAGCUCCCUCCUGGGACAGUGGAAGGCAGAGUGGUGGAUGUUAGUCAGGAAUGUGCUGGAUAUUACUGUCUAAAGUUGGGUUCUCAACCUUGAGUUGAGUACAGUUGUGUUUUCUGUGUCACUGGGCUUCAUAGAUGAUUGGAAAUGGCUUUUUCCUCCUACUCCCCCAGUGCAAGGUGCUCUUUUGCAGAUAACCAGCCUUCAUGGGUUCUCUUAACCACUUUCCUUUUUUCUGUUUGGUUUUCUGCUUGAACAUCAGUCUUUCUCCUCUUAUCUCCCAGAUUUUGGGACAAGUUUCGGUGGCUGCUUCUCCCUUGUCUUCUUGAAGACCUGUCUUACCCUGCUUCUGGGAAACAUUGGGUUGUUCUGUCUCAUUUUUCAGUGUAUUCAGAAUGUUGACAUGUACAGGGCAGCCUUUCCUCAAGGUCAGAUUGGGUCAGCUUUUCCUGUUCAAAGUGUAGCAUUGUUGUUCUUAAUUGCUUUUAGAGACAUCUUUAUACAUCCUGCUCAGCCACAUUUUCUGUUUCUUUAGUUUUUAGGCUCUGGCUAUGAUAGACUUCCCCCCUAAAAAAGCCCAUUCUUAGAGUCAGGAAACAUUGGUUUAGAUCUUUGUUUAUGCUAGUGUAGUCUCUGUGAGUGGGUGGGUUUGGAAUUCUUUUUGACUGAUGGUGAGAUAGCCCUUCUGUGGCUUAACAUUUCUUCCCACCGUUUUCUUUACUUUGGGCCAUUCAUCAUUUCUCAUUUCUUAGAGUUUGAGGAAUACCCCUUUGUGUGCAGUUGUACUUCUUUCUGACUUCCUUAUGGAGAAAGCAGUAGAAGGUGAUUCUCAUGUUCUCUUAUUUUCCUUCUUUAGUUGUGCCACUUGCCUCUCUUGUGGUGCCUUUGAAUAUGCCCUUUUGGGGAGAAGCUGUUUUUAUACCCAUAAUCCAUUAUUGCAGUCAUGUACUCAGGAGCUCUUUACUGGGCAUCUACUAUGUGUAAAGCUCUGUGGGGGUUAUGUGACUUUAAGUGAGACCAUAUUGAAUCUUGUUAGUCUUUUAGUAUGAAUGACGUUUCAGUAUAUCUUGUACUUGUCUUUAAUAAAGUCUUGUACAAUUUUUGUCUGAAUUUUAAUUUUUUGGAUUGUAAUCUUACAAAAAUAUACUCUAAUAGUGUACUAUCCUGUUGAGCUUUCUCCCUCCUCCCUGCAGGAGUGGGGGUGGAGAAGAGGGUGGAGGAUGUACUGGGAGAGGCAUUGAACAGCUUUCCUCUAGGCUGUGGGUGUGUGUGAGAUAGAGAAGGAGAGAGAGAAAAGUAAAGUCAACCUUAAUCUGAUUGUCUAGACAUAACUUUCAGGUCAUUUAGGUAUAUGAUUGGUUGGGAUGUUUAUUAAACAUUUGAACAGCAGCGUUAUGUUAGAUAUUAUAUAGAACAUAAAAUCAAAUAUAUGCUUCAUAUAAAGAAGUGUUAGAAAAGCAUUUUUCUCUUCUGAUUAACUGGUCUGGUUUAUAUUACAGUAUAAUAUAUGAUAACUAUAACAUGAGCUGCUGUUAAAUUUUUGCUGCCAGAAAGUGUUAUAUCUAAAUUUAAUGCCUAAUUGUGAUGACCAUUCUUAGAUUAGAUAUCUGAUACCAUUAUCACUGCUUUUGUUUAUUAUGUGACUUUUUAUUCUUAAUGCUUUUUGAUAUACUGUUAUUUGUAUUUUUUUGUUUGUUUUUUGUGAGUAGCAGUGGAUUCUUCUUGGGUGCAGAUUAGAUAUUAAUGGUGAUGAUAAUCAUAAUAAAAAUUAAUCUGGAGUGUGUUUUUUUUUCCCUUCCUUUAAAUGAGAUUACCUCCUUCUAUAAUAUAUUUUAGAAGCCAGUUUUGCUAGGAUUUCACUACUGUGAAAACUAUUGUGUAGGAUUGUUAGGGUUGUGGUAUGUGGUUGGCAGUGUCCUCUGUUGAUGUGAAUGUGUGAGUGAAUGUUCUUGUGGUGACAGGGAUGUGUGCUUCUUUUGUGUUUCCAUUAUACAGAUCAUUUCCUACAGUGUUCUGUAUCUUCUAGAAUCACUUAGCUUGCCCUUUUGGGAUGUUUUAGAUUAAUUAAAUCCUACCUCUCUUUCUCUUCUUUAAAGUCUUUCCGUUUUCUCUGUUUCUCGUCUUUAGUCUUUCCUUUUCCUCUUCCUUGCAUAAGCAGGUUUCUCUACUGCCGUUAUUGUUAUUGUUAUAGAAAGCACUUGUAGAUAUAUUUCAUUUAUAGCCUUUCUGUCUUUUAGUGUAAAGGGGCUGCUUUCCAUCCCCUUUGUCCUGUAGACAAAGCAUGGUUCCUUCUUAUCUCCCUAAGAUAGGUAGAUGGCAUGGAAUUUAAGUUCCAGCAAGGGAUGACAGUGGUAUUUGUAACUGGAAAUCAUCUGAGGUUAAACACUGAGCCCUUCAAGGCUUCUGGGCCUCUACAUGUAGGAUUUUGUAAAUUUGUUCGUUUCUCUAUUCAGUCAGCUUUUUCUCUUUCUCUUUGGCUUGAUAUCAGUACAUUUCUUUGGGUACAGCCAACACAUAUACUAUGUCUUUGGAGCCUUUGUUUAUAAGAAAAUGGGGUCCUUUCCAGUGUUACUUUGCCUAUGCUGUUAUUGUCUUUAGUCUUCCAUGUGUUUGAGGGUGAGACUCAGAAGUGUUUCUUGUCCUACUUCUUGGCUGUAUAAUUUGAGUAGAGAGUAUAUGGCCAUUGCUCUGUUUUCCAGAAUGUAGUAUGACCUUUCUUUUUUUUUUGAAUACCCAAUCUGGUUCAGGAUAUAGGUUGAUCAGACACUAUCAGAACCUUUUGUUUGGUGCAUCUAUGGAUGUAUCCAUCAGUCCUUUAACCAAACUCAUUACCAUUCAGUCAUUAGAAGCUACUUGCCACCCUGUGAUAUUGGUCAUGUAUUUGUAAGGAAAGUCUAUUUCUAUAUAUAUUGACAAUGGUUAGCAGUCCCUGAUUUUUAAUAUGGUGGGACAAAGUAAAGCCCCCCUCCGCCCUUUGCUAUCAGUAUGGCUAUAUAAUUUUUAGGUUGUAGGACAUCUUUCUGCUUUGAAAACCAUGGCUUGUUGAAGGUCACAGGCCUACUUGUGUAAAGAUUGGUAAUGUUUCCUGAUCUCUUUUUUUUUAACUUCACUAUCCUGGACUUAAAUAUUAUAUUCGCCACUGCAAAGAGAGGUCAAGUAUCAGGUGUCUCUCUUACCCUUUUACUUUUUUUUUUUUUUUAAGAGUUUUGUUUAUUUACUUUGAGCUGAUUGAAAAGCAUAAGGUAGAAGGACUAGAGAUAGUUUGUGAUGACUCUUCUGCAUUCACCCAGUGUUUUGCUUAUUCUUUAUAUAAUAGCAUGUUCUCUUAUACAUGACUUCUUUGCUCUUUUUUUUUGGUCCAGUCUAUCCAGGCCCCUCAAGACAUGAACCGUAUCCCUUCCUGAUCCAGUUAGCAGGGGGGUAACUUUGAGGGAGAUGUGCUAGCUGUAUUAUCACUUUGCUUUCUGCAGUAUAGUUUUAUGCACAGAGUCACAUGCCUUUGAAGAACGCUUGGGACUGAGUUCUUCACAGUUUUAAACGUGGAGACUAAGUGGUAUUGCUCUUACCUCUUACCUCACUUCCUCAUGCCAUCUAAAAUAAAAUACCUUCCCAUGUUCUCUCCAAGCAAACAAAGAAACAAAUGCCAACAAAACAAAACAACAACCAUAGCAACAAAAUCCUGAACAAAAGCACAACACCCCGAAGGCCAUCUCUGAUUGCUCCUGCUCUCCACUUCAGUUGCUAGUUUUGGACAGGUGUAUGACUUUUGGAUAUGUAGUCUAGUGGGGUUGACAUGCGAAAAGCCUUUUAGGACACUCAGCAUUCAUUCAUUCAAUAGACCAUGCAGUAUCUCUUCCAUUUUUCUUUAUCAGUUACUACAAGGUAAAACCUGCAAAGUGUGUUAGUUUCCCCCAUUAUUCCCACUAACCCAUUGGAAUAAAUAGUGGUAACUUAUUAUCCCUACUUUUGUGUUCAAUAUUGGUGAGAGAGUGGAGAGCUGAUUUCCAGUGGUGAUAGUAUAGCCUGUGACUGACUUCUCUGUGCAGUCUAGUCAUUAUUGCAAUAAUGAUUUACAUUUUCAACUAAAUUUAGGGUUUGUAAAGAGGGAUAAUCCAGAUAUGUAAUUCUGUUUUUUUUACAUCCAACAGGAUGUAUCUGUGUGUUAUAUUAGAAUGAUGUGUGGAUACAUCUCUUUUCAACAAUUUAAAAAAAAAGACUUUGCUUAUUCUUGAUAUAGAUUCUUGAAAAAACAGGAAUUAUCUUUUUUUCUUCAUCAAGCCAUCAAAGUUGAUUUAGAUUGCCAGUUGUUAUUUCGGAAGGUAUAUUAAUACAAUGAAGAAUUUCUCUCUUAAAAAUUUAGACUUUGUUUUUAAUCCUUUUCUGAACAGUCAUUUCUGGGUAUGUGUAUGCCUCACUGGUUUUCUAGGCACUUGGAUAUCAAAUCCUUUGGGGGUGAUAAUAAGAAAUUGGUAUGAAGUAUGAAACUAUCAAAUAGGAAGCAAAAAAAUGCUGUUGUGAAACAAUUACCUAUUUAUGAUUAAAAAUAAUCUCAAAGUGGUAUUUGGAAGUGUGAUUUGAAAUACUCUUAAGAAAAAAUGGAAUGUUGAUGUGGUUACUAUUUUGAAAUGGACACAUGCAUAUUGUAGAAUGACUGCUCUUCCAAAUGGGGCAUUUAGAAAACAAAUAGAUUGAUAGGAUUGGUUAUUUUAAAAUGUCUCUUUUUUUCUCUCUCUCUUUUAAGGAAACAAUUGAAAUAAAAGCCAUUCUUAAUGAAGAAAAUGUAAACUUUGCUGUAAGUUUAGCAUUUGCAAAGUAAAGAUUCAAGAUAAGGAUUUUUUUAUUGCAAAUCCACAAGGGGGUAGUGAUGUUCUAUCAAAGAUAUUUGUGGUGGAAAUGUGAGAUGAUCUCUUUUAACAUUUUAGAUUUACAGAUAAAACUGGCAUGUUUGCAUUUUAACUUAAUAAGAUCUUCUUUUUAAAAUGUUUAUUGGCAAAAUUGUUUAUUGCUUAAAUUAAAAAAAAUCCAUUUGGGGUGAAUGCUAUUUUAAGCUGUACAAAUGUUGAGAAGAGAGAAUGUUCUUGUAGUAUUGUGCUUUGGAAAGGUUACGAAGGAGCUGAGGGUCAGUGUUAUUUUCUAAGAAUGUAAUAAUCUUAAAUUUCCUGGGAAACAUUAGGAAUCUAGGAAUCAGUAACUUAAGUGUUCUGAAUAAAAGGAUGUUAGUAAAUUGUGUCUAAAGUUUACAGAAGUUUGUAUUACUAGUUGUAUUUUUCAGUUCUGCCAAGAGAUGAAAAAAUGUGAACAAUCCCUACCACUAGCUAAUUUUAAUAGUUCUAAAUAAAUCAAAAUUUUGUAAUAUCUUUUUGUAAGUUUAUCUUACAUCAUCGUAUAAAAACAUUUUUUUCCUCCCUCACAUAAAAAUUCCAGCAGCUUGCCUCUGUCUUUGAAUUCCACUGUCAUAUUCAGAAUACAAGUCAGUGAGUGUUGUGUGGUGAUGUCAGGUGGUCUGUUACUCUAGCUGUAUUACUGUGCUCUUGUUUAAAAGGCUAUGUAGUGGGAGAAAGAUUUAAAAUUGGGAUGGGAAUUAUGUCCUACUUAUUUAGAGACACAGUAACUUUGUUUUUAAAAAAUGCUACUUUUAACAUUAAUGGUAUUAAACAAUUCUACAGUUUAGAAGUUAGUGUCAUAUAUGUUUGUGUAUUUUUCAUUUCUGGUCUAGGAAAAAGAUUGUUAAUACAGUUUUUCUCCCCUCUUUCCCCUUCCCUCAUUCUGAGCAGAAAAGGGCCAUUUCUUCUCCUUUAUUAAAUGACUUUGGUGAUUUAACAUCUCCAAAGAUCCACAGAUUCUUUGCAUACUACUCUCAGCUCUACUGGGAACUGAACUAUGACGUCAGCAUUUUCAUUCAUGGAUUCGAUUCUUCUGAGCCUGUUUUCUUGGUUUGUAUUCCUGAGCUAACUUCUGGCACAUGCACAGAUCAGUUUACCAUCAGGCAGCCCAUAAAUCAACCGUAAAAGGUAAAACAAAAGAUAAGACACCGUAGUUUUUUCAAUAGCACUGUAGUUGCUCAUGCUGAUUUGCAUCAAUGCAGUUUGGAUAAGGUUCCUGGCCAAACAGAUUAAAAUCUAAAAACAGUCAGUUUAAUUAUCUCAUGAUUUUGUGGAUUGAACUGUGUUGUGAACAUACUGAUAAAAAAUUUUUGUUCUUGGUGGAAGUUCAGAGUGCUGUGUGGUAUAUGUAGCUUCUUUGUUAUAAAGUAGCAUUUCUUUUAUCAUUUGGCUGAACUGGAGAUACAUUAUUUCACCGAGGUUAGGCCUGGAGAUUAAAUUAUGUCCUACUCAAAUUACUUUUGGAAUGAAUUUGGAUUUUGGGAGGAAAUUAAAAUAUUUUAAAUAACUAUUAUUUAAUGCAUAUAUUUCAUACGUUAUUGUUAUUAUUAUAGAACUGGUGUAGCACCCCAUGUGUUGGAGUCUGAUUUCAUCUCCCCUAGACUAUAUUUCCUGUGGUUGUGGACUCCAGCAUCUCUUCCAGGGAGGUCACUGCUUGUAAUUUAGUGCUGUGUGAGAACAGUUCUUGAAGAAAUCUUACUUGGAGAUUAACUCUUUAGGGCCAAGUUGGAGGCUGGGCCUCUGGCCUCUGGCAUUCAAGCCUCUUGGGGUUGAUGAAUGGUGAGCUGUAAGAAAGUUCAUUUUCUCUGCUUUCUUGAGGGUUUGCUGACUUUCUGUAUUUUUAAUUGUCAAGAAUAUUUAGAAAUACAAUGUAUUACUUUUAGGAAGUACCUUUUAGUUCACUUAUAUUUCAUGGUUGUAGUAGAUGAUUCAAACUGUGUCCAUUUGGAUUGAUAUGCAUUUAUCCUUCCUUCCACCCCUUGCUGGGGAUUGUACCUAGGAUCUUGUUAAUACAUAUUAGUCUAGUGAUACCUCAUAGAUACUCUCUCUCCAUCCCUAAAUAGAAUUAGAGCUUUGUGCUUUUUAGGUUCAAUAAGUUGUCUGAGGGGUAACGGAUGAGUGGUCUCUGUGUUAGCUUUGUUCUUUAAAUAGAUGUACUGGGAAAAAGAAAAUGAAAUCAAAUAGCGUGUGGAUGUGCAUUUGAAGACUUAAAUGACUUGUUAUUUUCUCUAAGAACUAGUGUUGCUAUUAUAAAUAUUUCUUCCCUAUAAAUACAAUUAUUUGCAAGUAACAUCAAAGAAAGACUUAAUGGUGAAGGGUCUGUGUGAAAACUUUCUAAUUUUCAAAAUUACCUCUGUUGGAUUUCUGGACAGUUGUGGAUUGUGAUGGCAGGUUUCACAAUGUUUGAAACACUGCUGUGGGAUUAGCAUUGUCAUUAUUGUCAUACCAUGGGCAAGUAAUAGGUUAAGUCUUCUGGCCAUGGAGGGUUUAGGUUUCCCAGGGCUUUUAGAACAAGUCCACUUUGAUUGUGUCCAAUGCUUUUUCCUUUCAGUAGCUGGGAAUGCAGUCCAGCAGGACUAUGGACCCUUUAAGCAGUGUGUUUUCUGCAGUCAUCCUUGUUGUCACUUCCAUGGGCCAGGAGAGCAAAGGAGCCUUAUCUCUUCUCAGACUCUACAUCUUCUUGUUCUUACUAGAUUGGUCUGCUCAGUUUAUUGCUCUUCAUUCUUGGCCAGCAUCUCCUUGUCUUGCCUUUCCUAGACCUCAGCUGUGGUAGAAUGAGUUGAUAAUGAUUUUGAGGGAUUCAUGUGUUGGGUGGUCUUAGAAAUGAUCUCUGAAGUCAUUCUGUUCUUUCUUAAGAUGAUAAGAAGGUGAGGUUGGAUUAUGGAACUUCCCUUCACAUCUUGGUUUCCUGGUAUGCAGCUGUUUUGUGUAGCUGUUGCUUUUCUUUUUGAGGUCCUUGCUCCAGAUCAAGAAGAAAUAUGUAGCUUCAAGCUGUGUAGGAGGAAUUUGAACUAUUGCUACUGAGGUACCUCCUUUCCAGUGUACAUAGAGGGCUAAUUUUUUUUUACAUCUUCUGCCUGCUAUAUUGUGAGUAUUUAGGAAAUGUAAAAAAUUUUUAGGAGUUUUAAUAGAAAAUGUGCAACAAGAAUGUUCAGUCUUCCUGUUAUUCUCUAUGGUAGAUUUAAGGCUUUAUUCAGUUACAGAUGAGGGUUCAUAGUUUUGGGAAAUAGACUUAAAUAAUAGAUGAUUACAGAUUAAAAAAUAUUUGCUAAUCUUAGGUGUUUUACAUUCAAGGUAGUGUUUAUACUCAUUUAGUUGUGUUUUUUGGGUUUGAUUAAUAUUACUUAUUAAAAUGUAUUGAUUGCCAGUAAUUCAGUAAAUAAAAGACUGUUUCUGUCAUGUGUAUUGGGGAGUUGCUGAGGGUCCACUAUAAUUGAUUAUAUAGGAUCUUUGCUUGGACAUACUCCCUGGGCAAUGAUAGGCCUGGUGUUUGGGGGGCCUUUGAACAUAAUUCAUCUUUGAAAGUUUUUUUUUUCCAAUAUUUAAAGAUACUGAAGGCAAGUUAAAGUUCCUGGUGUUAUAAACUUCCCUGCCUGUCCUUUCUAUUUCUGCCAUCAUAAAAUGUGUUGGCCGAAUCAUUUACUUUGACAAAGCUUCGAUGGAAGUUUCUUCUUCAUUUAGUUUUAUUGAUGGAGGCUGUUGUGCUAAAAAGAACGCUGUAACAAGUUGAAAGGUGGUGAGUGGGCACUCGGAGCUUUGAAGUACUUGUCUUUCUUCCUAGGGCUCCUCCAGAAAUUGAUUAUAGAUUACUUGACCAAAUUUAAAGCCCACAAACUUAUUGCAGACAUUCUGGGAGCAAAGAAGCAUCAGUCUUUCUGUACUGAGUUUGAUAUUCUAUUGUGACACAUUGCUCCUUGUGUGAGGACCUCCUGAUGCAGAUAUGAUAGUGGUGACCUCUCUGCUUAGGAGAAAUAUUUUUGGCAGCUCUAUGAUCUGUCGUCUCCAAGUAUUUUUAGUCUCUUUGCCUCUGUCUGAGGAGCUGAGGAUGGAUUUAGCUGUUUUGGUGCUGCUCCAAGUUGUGAUGGAUGCCUUUGCUACCUUGCUCACCAACCUACCCAGUACUGCCCUGAUGAGGUUCUUGCCCUUGUCAUUUGAUGAAGGAGCAGAUAGAACCAUUUGCUCAAUAAAGAGAAAAAAACUCAUGAUUUUCAGAAUGCUUUUAAAAAUAAAAGAUGGUUAGUGGUGAUGGUGUACAACCAUGUGAAAGUACUUACUGCCACUAAAUUGUAUGCUCAAAAAUGGCUAAAAUUUAUGUUGGGUAUAUUUUGCCACCAUUAAAGAAAGGGUAAUUUUCAAAUGAAUUAGACAUCUAAUGAGCAAAGUAUCUAAACAGUUCUCAGAGUGAAUGAAUAUAUGGCAGUAUUUUCAUCACCCCAAGGUUGGAGAUUGUUUCUUAAGUAAAUUGUCAAAAAUCUCUCUCUCUCUCUCUCUCUCUCUCACACACACACACACACACACACCCACCCACACACACCCACACACACAUACACACUAUAUGAUGGUAAUCAGGCCCUGAGAUUCUUUUAUACAGAAAAUGAUAUUUUAGGUCGGAUUUUUGUAUUUGUAGUAUUUAUAAUUGUUAAGAGGAUUGACUGGCUCAUUCAGAAAAGUUUAAGGCUCAUAGUGGAUACUUGGAAAGUAGAUUGUUUGGUAUUGAUGCCUUACUUUAAAUUAGAACAGUUUGAAUUGCAGGGAUUCCAGCUACUCAGGUUAGGUCAAGUGGGGCAGUUCUAGGCUAAGAAGUCUCAGCCUCCAGGACAGACACUAAAGUGCAGUGGGAGAUUCUGGGAACUGGCCAGAACUGGAGUGUCUGGUUGUCCUCUCUAGAGAUGUGUUGGGCUAAGCAGAGAUCUGUGGAUGCCAGGGCUCCUGUUUCUGCUGUGCCCUUUUUCUCUCCUCUCCCGUUUCUCCUUGCAGAUUGGCUUUCUCCUCUGAUUUCCUUGCUUCAGUUGCAUGCAGGUAUAGCCUGCCAUGGCCCCAGUCAUGGCUCCUAGUUCCAUUGCUUCCCAUCAUCUGACUCCACUUUGAGAGCCCAGUAUGAAAAUACUCAAGACAGAAUUGGACUGACUCCUUUCAGCAAGUUGCUCUGUUUCCAUGGGGCUGGUUAGGGUUAGUGGCCUGCUGAUCAUUUAGGAGUUAGGCUGAGAGGACUUUGUGUGAGAAGAGUUUGAUAGUAGGGGGCCUGGCACCUCAGACUGCAUCUAUCUCCCUCGACGUGCAGUAAAAAAGAAAGGAUAUUGACUUCUAAGUGGCUUUCUUGUGUUCAGUUGCUAUAGUGAUUAAACUUUUUGCAGAGAAAAAUGUUCAUUGUAGCUAUAGAUAGGAGGCCAAGCAUCCUUAGUCAGUCAGCUUGAGUGUGUGUAGAAUACAUCAGCAAAGGGUGUCAGAACUGUCCCAUAGCUUGUGCUUUGAAUGGUUGCAGAGCAGGAAUGCCACCAUCAGUGCAGUCUGUGCCCUGCAGGGUUCUCAGAAUAGGCAGUGAAAGGGAAUGUCAGUAUCAUGUGAGGGCUCACAUUUCAGGUGAGCUCCCCUUUCUCCUGGUUGUGGACCAGUAAGCUUAAAAGGUUAAGAAGAAAGGGAGACAUUGCCCUCCCUGUGAGCAUGAUGGGGGAACCCAGGAGCAGCCUCUGCAAAGGCCUUCGGCCGCCUCUCUACCCUGUCAGUGCACCUUCAGCUGGCCUCCUUCCUCUGGUCUCUUUUCCCGUGAUUUCUCAUGUAGAAGGAAUUAUAGAAAAUGGGAAGCCUGUGCAAGAACAGGUUUGGAGGUCCUGUGUGAGGGCUGAGGGCCUCUACAGCAUGGAACUACCUGAAUUGACAGUGGUUAGGAAUUGAGGUUUCACAGUUAGGACCUGGAGUAUCCAGUAUUCAGAAAGCAGAGUUUUGGAUUAUCUUUUUUACAGAAGAGGAGAGUAUGUAAUGUUUUAGGGAAACAAUCACUAAAGUAGUUGUAGUUAAAUGGAUUUGAUUCUUUUUAAAUAAAUUGUAAAACAACAAUUUAUUAAAAUAUAAUUCAUAUACCCUUUAAAAGUUUAGUGGCUUGUACUAUAUUUAUGUGGUUACACAACUAUCACCACUAAUACUUCAUGUUCAUCAAUCCAAAAAGAAAAUCUGUGCCCAUUAGCAGUCACUCCCAACUCUUCCCUCUGCUAGGCAAUUACUAAUCUACUUGCUGUCUUUGUGGAUUUGCCUAUUUUGGACCUUUUAUAUAAAUGGAGCCAGACAGUAUUUGUUCUUUUGUGAUAGGUGUGUUUUCCUUGGCAUAAUGUUUUCUUUUUUUUUCAGUGCUGGGAUUUAAACCCAGAGCCUAGUGCAUACUAGGCAAGUGCUCUGACAUUGAACUAUACACCCAGUACAUAAAGAAGUUUUUUUUUUUUUUUCCCCCUUCCCUUUUCAGUUUUUGGCAGUGCUGGGCAUUGAACCCAAUUCCUUUCCCAUGCUAGGCAAGUGAGCUACAUUUCUGGUCCUGGCAUAAUGUUUUCAAAGAUCAUUCAUGUUGUAGCACGCAUCAUUAGUUAAUUUCUUUUAUGACUGAUUUUUUUUUUUUUAUUGUAAGGAUAUACCACAUUUUGUUUAUCCACUCACCAAUUGAUGGACAUUUGAGUACUCUGCUUUUUGACUCUUAUGAAAAAUUUGCUAUGAACAUUAAAGAACAAUUUUUUUUGUAGACAAAUGCUUUCAGUUGUCUUAGGUAAGAUACCUAGGCAUGGAAUUGCUGUGUAGUGUGUUUAUUGUGUUCUCCUUUUCAAGGAACUGCCAAAUUGUUCUCCAUAGUAACAGUGUUAUGUUAUAUUCCACCAGUGAUGCCUGAGGGUUCCAGUAUCUCCAUAUCCUUGCUGACACUUGUUAAUCUCCAUCUUUGUGACUGCAGUUUGUCAAUUUGUACAAAAAAAGACUACUGGGAUUAUGUUUAAUCUAUUAUGUAUUUGGGGAGUUAAAAUCCUUUUUAUGAAUCUGUAAGUUGAGAAACUCCUGGCUAACCCCAGUAUCUCACCUUAAAAACAUGCAAUUGUUUCACCUUUUUUUUUUUUUUUGAGAGAGAGAGAUAGAGGGAGGGAGGGAGGGAGGGAGAGGGAGAGAGAGAGAUUUUUUUUUAAUAUUUCUUUUUUAGUUUUCGGUGGACACAACAUUUUUAUUUUAUUUUUAUGUGGUGCUGAGGAUUAAACCCAGCGCCCCGUGAAUGCCAGGUGAGCGUGUUACCACUUGAGCCACAUCCUCAGCCCUGUUUCACUUUUCUAAUACAGAAAGUUGCCUCGGUGAGCAUUGUAGUCACUGUCAGGCUGAAAUUGGACUUUGUAGGUUCUAGGAGAGCAGCUAGCUGCCCAUAUAGCCCAUAGGUGAUUUCUUCUCCUUCUUCUUUUUUUUAAAAAAAUUAUUUUAGAUAUACAUGACAAUAGAGUGUAUUUUUUUUUUAGUUGUAGAUGGACACAAUAGCUUUAUUUUGUUUGUUUAUUUUUAUGUGGUGCUGAGAAUCGGACCCAGCGCCUCACACAUGCUAGGCAAGCACUCUACCUCUGAGCCACAUCCCUAGCCCCCAGUAGAGUGUAUUUUGACAUAUUAUACAUAUAUGGAGUAUUAGUAACUUAUUCUAAUUAGGAUCCCAUUCUUGUGGUUAUACACAAAGUGGAGUUUCAUGAAUACUGAUCAUGUAUGCAUAUAUGAACAUAGGAAAGUUACGUCUGAUUGAUUCUACUGUCCUUGCUAUUCUCAUCCAUCCUCCCUUCCCUUCAUUCCCUUUUGUCUAAACCAGUGAACUUCUGUUCUUUCCUCCCCCACACUUAUUAUGUGUUAGCUUCCACAUAUCAGAAAGAGCAUUUGGCCUUUGAUUUUUUGGGAUUGGCUUAUUUCACUUAACACAGUAGUCUUCAGUUUCAUCCAUUAACUAGCAAAUGCCAUUAUUUUGUUCUUCUUUAUAGCUGAGUAAUAUUCCAUUGUGUAAAUAUACCACAUUUUCAUCUGUUGAAGGGCAUCUAGGUUGGUUUUUGUGAAUUGAGCUUUUGUAAACAUUGAUGUGGCUGUGUUACUAUAGUAUGCAGACUUUAAGUCUUUUGGGUAUAUACCAAGGAGUGGGAUAACUGGGUCAAAUGAUGGUUCCAUUCUAAGUUUUCUAAGGAAUCUCCAUACUACUUUCCAUAGUGGUUGCACCAAUUUGCAAUCCCACCAGCAGAGUAAGAGUGAAUCUUUUCUCUCACAUCCUUGCCAACAUUUAUUAUUUGUAUUCUUUUUUUUUUAAAGAGAGAGAGAGAAAGAGAAUUUUUUUUUAAUAUUUAUUUUUUAGUUUUCGGCGGACACAACAUCUUUGUUUGUAUGUGGUGCUAAGGAUCGAACCCGGGCCGCACGCAUGCCAGGUGAGCGCGCUACUGCUUGAGCCACAUCCCCAGCCCCUAUUAUUUGUAUUCUUUUUUUUUUUUUUAGAGAGAGAGAGAGAAGAGAGAGAGAAUUUUUUUUAAUAUUUGUUUUUCAGUCUUCAGUGGACCCAACAUCUUUAUUUUUAUGUGGUGCUGAAGAUCGAACUCAGCACCCCGCGCAAGCCAGGCGAGCAUGUUACAGCUUGAGCCACAUCCCCAGCCCUAUUUGUAUUCUUGAUAGUUGCCAUUCUGACUGGAGUGAGAUGUAACUUCAAGUCUGGUUUUAAUUUGCAUUUCUCUAGUUGCUAGAGAUGCUGAAUACAUUUUCAUAUAUUUGUUGACCAUUUGUAUUUCUUCUCUGAAGUGCCUGUUCAGUUUCUUUGCCCAAUUAUCAACUGGGUUAUUUAUUUAUUUUUGUGUGAAGUUUUUUGAGUUCUUUGUAUGUUCUGGAGAUCAAUUCUCUAUUUGAGGUGCAGGUGGCAAAGAUUUUCUCCCAUUCUGUAGGCUCUCACAUUCUUUUUUUUUUUUUUUUUUUUUUAAAGAGAGAGUGGGAGAGAGAGAGAGAGAGAGAGAGAGAGAGAGAAUUUUUUAAUAUUUAUUUUUUAGUUCUCGGCUGACACAACAUCUUUGUUUGUACGUGGUGCUGAGGAUCGAACCCGGGCCGCACGCAUGCCAGGGGAGCGCGCUACCGCUUGAGCCACAUCCCCAGCCCCUCUCACAUUCUUAAUCACAUUCUUGAUUGUUUCUUUUGCUGUGAGAAACCUUUUUAAUUUGACACUUUCCCAAUUAUUGAUUCUUGAUUUUACUUUUUGCACUUUAGGAGCCUUGUUGAGGAAUUUGGUUCCUAAGCCAACAUGAUGGAGAUUUGGGCCUACUUUUUCUUCUAGUAGGUGAAGAGUCUCUUGGCUAAUGCCUAGGUUCUUGAUCCAUUUUGAGUUGAGUUUUGUGCAGGGUGAGAGAGAGAGGUUCAAUUUCAUUGUACUAUAUAUGGAUUUCCAGUUUUCCCAACACCAUUUGUUGAAGAGGCGAUUUUUUUUUUCCAACGUUUAUGGUGCCUUUUUCUAGUAUGAGAUAAUUGUAUUUAUGUGGGUUUGUCUCUGUGUCUUCUGUUCUGUUCCAUUGGUCUUCAUGUCUGUUUUUGUGCCAGUAUCAUAGGGUGACUUCUUGAUGUUUGUGUUCUUUUGAUGUGAAAGUUUGCUGAUGCCAUGCCUGUGUAGAAAAAGAUAGACUGUUUUGGUUAAGACACAUUCUGCUAAGAAAAUUAGCAGAUUACAUGUAUGGAUAUUUAAUUAUCAAAGAGUCAGAAUAUGUUAAAAUUGUGAUGUUGAAAUUCAUGCAGUUCUUAUUGUUGGAGGUAUCAGAAGGCACCAUGUGAACAUUAGUUAUUAUUGUGUUUUUGAGUUUUUGUGUACUCAACAAAUAAUAACAAAAUGCCUAUUUGUGCCAGGCAUGGAAGGACUGAGUCAGCCCCUGUCCUCAUGGAGCUAAUGGGGAGACCCACCUUAAUCAGGAUGCCAUGUGAGAUAACAGCUGGAUGUGAUGUCCCAAAGGUGAGGUGUGAAGGCAGUGUGGUGCAUUACCAUGGGAUUGACUCACUGAGUGAGAGGUUGGGGGCUUUGUGAGCACAACUGUGGAGGAACAUGGGGAUUACUUGAGGGAAGAAUUAGGGAAGGAAAUUCCAGGUGAUUGAGUGAGCUGGUUGGUGAGAUGUGUGGAGAUGGUUGGGUCCAUUCUGGCUGUGUACAGCUUUUGGGAAAGAGUGUCUGAAGACCUGGCUAUGGUCUUUUACUCUGCCCCUUAAGUGCCUUGUGACUGAGCGGUUAUCUGAUCUUUCUGAGCUUGCUUACUUACUAGCUAUUUUUAUUUAGAGAUACUCACAUGAAAACAUGCAGGAAUCUAGGGCUUUUGAUUGGUUGUUUUCUUAUAAUUCAGAAACAGUUAUUUCUUUGUGAGCUUCUAUGAUUGGCUACUUAGAAAUGCAGCACUGGCAAACAAUAUUUUUCUGAACAUUUUCCCUAGUCAUUGAUGUCAGGAUUCACUUCAUUACUUCAUCUGAAAUUAAUCCAGAAGCUUGUUGGGCAGAAGUGGGGCUGGUGUGGCUGUAUCUGACUGAGGCAGCUCAGACUGCUGGUGUGAGGUGCUCAGAAGAGCUGGAAAGUCUUCUUGGAGGAGGUGGAAUUUGACUUGGUAACAUUGACAGUUGGAGGAGAAAUUCCAGGAGGAAAUGGAGCAAAGGAAAUGCCAGGAAAGGGCUUGGGGCAGCUAGAGUGCAAAGAGCUUGAUGGAAGGAUAGGCCUGGAAGAGCAGGUAGGCCCAGGUGCAGGCCUGUGAAGGCCGCCUGAGGAACUGCUUGUCAUCUGCUCAGAGAGAGGCUCUCAGAACUUUUUUUACUUUUUUUUUUUUAAUCCACUGAUGGGAUAAAGCUGAUUCUCCUUCAAGGUGCUGCUUGGGCCACCAGCUUGCCUCUUAAGCUUCAUCCAUUCCACACACACACAACUUGGCCCCACACACAGCAUGCUGUUUUUUAGUGUCUGAUUGUGUCAGGGUCUCCUACUUCUUCGUGGUUGCAGGCCUUGCACACUGCUGUUGCUUAAUGUGGGCGGUAGCCUUCCUUCAGAACACAGAUACUAAGCUCACACGUGCUCUUGAUGAUGCUCCUUGGCUUUACUUCUUUCCAGACUGGAUUGGGCACCCUUCCUUUUUUACCAGAGCACUCUGGGUUUCCUGGGCAUAACAUUUUAGUUCCUUUUGGAGUUGCUUGCUUCUGUUUCUUCCUCAGUUAUGCAUUCAUUUUGAGAGGUCAGACACUGAAGGACCUGGGCGUAGUAAGUAUAUAUUGGCUGAGUGAGUGAAUGAGUGAACAGGAAGCACUAGAGUCCGGAGAAAGUCACUCCUGGCAAGAGUUCUGUGUGGUGUCAGGCUGAAGAAAGAGCUAGUGUGACUGAGUUGUGUAUGUGUUUGUUCCUCUCUCAAACGCACAAUUUGUAAGUGAUUGAAUGUGGGCCUUGUGGGAUGAUGACUCCUAGAUUUUAAAUUCGAAGAACUGGGAGUUUGGUGAGACCAAACGUGAAUUAGGGAACACAGGAGAGAUAUUUUGGACAGACUAUAUGAAAAAGUAUCUUGUUCUGUUUUAGAUGUGAAUGGGUAGCUUCAGAAAAUGUAUGUACAACAUGACAUUGGAAAUGUGGGUCAAGGACUAGGGAGUCAUUUGUAUCAACCUGUCUCCUUUUUCUCCUUGAUAUUCUCAGAGGGCAAGGGAACCCUGGUGCUAAGGUCUGUGAGAUUGGCCCCCUGGGCAAGGGCAGAGUGGAAAAGGGCAGUGGGUCCAUUUGGAGGGGCAGACAAAUGUGCCAGCAUGCCCUGGUGGGAGUAAGCUUCAUGAAAGCAGUGGCUUUGUUUUGCUGGCUCAUGAUUGGGUCACUGUGUCCAUAACAAAGUCUUGUGUUUGAAUGAGUGAAUCAGUCAUUCAUUUCAAAAGCAUUAGAAGAACUCUUUGGAGUGAGUGAGAUGGCCAUGGGAGAAGAGAAGGGGCUUAGGGGCAGAAACGUGGUGGAUUCUUAGAUUUAGAUGUGACCAGAGGUUGAGGAUAAAUAGAGGCUGAGAAAGAAUGGGCAGAGUGGUAAGCAAAUAAGAAUAUACAGCGGGAUGCAGAGUGUGGGGAUGGGGCAUUAGUCGUAAUGCUGCCAAGAGAUAAAGUAGACAGAAGACUAAGGAAAAGGAAUUGGUUUUGUCAGUUUGACAGUGAGUUGAGAGAAUAAAGGCAUAGAGAUAGGAUAGAUGAUUCUUUUAGAAAUUCUGAUGAUAUAUGCAGAUCACUGGUGGAAAUGAUUGAUCAAGUUGAAGUUAAGAAACAAAAUCAGGGGGCCUGGUGGGCUGUGUGUGUAUAAAUUACCUAUUGGUGCUGUAACAAAUGACCAUAAACGUAAGUAAGUGUCUUAAAAUUGUUCACCUUAAAAAUAGUACAGCUUUAUUAUUUCAGAAGGGUGUGGCUAAGGCUGCAGCCUCAGGGCUCCAUGGGCUUCAGCAUCGGGGUACCCUUGCCUCUGAAAGCUGCUGUCAUGGGAAAGCUCAGCUGGGGAGGGAUUCACUGCUUUGUGGGCUAUUGGACUAAGGCCUUGGCUUCUCUGGCUGCAGGCCAGAGGUCACCCUCAGUUCCUGUGGGCCUCUCCCACAUCGCUGCUUCUCACAGAGCCAUUGAGGGAGAGUCAGCUAGUUAGAUAGAAGUCAUAGUCUGUGCUGUCCAGUCACAGAAGUGACAGCCCCAUAUUGCUGUAGCUCUUGUGAGCUGGUGAGAAGCAAUCUCCAGACCCAGCCACCCUCAAGGGGUAGAGGACUGCACAGAGGCAAUAUCCUCACAAGGUGGGGAUCGUGAUAGGUACAUCAUGAAGUUUGUCCACCACAAUAGGAAGGGACGAUGGGACCAGGAGGCAUUAGGGCAGUUCUUCAGAUGGAGGUCCUAUGGGAUGCAGAUGGAAGGAUGAGAGUUCUCAUCUCAUGAGGGAAGAUUUGGAAGUGAAGUUUCAGGGAAAAGUUAAACUGUGUCAUGUGGUUGACCCUUCACUGGCAGCCUUCUGCCCUCUACCUUCAUCCCCAAACAAGGGCACAGUUGCCUUUUGUGACUUCCUCCUUUAGACAAAUUAACACAGUAUCUUAUAACUGCCAUUAAUAAACCCAUCUAUUUUGUUAAAGUAGAAUUAGUCACCAGAAGGUUCCUGGCCUUUCAAAGUGUCUGCCCUGCUUUUGUUGAAGAUGAAAUGAGGUGAUCCAUAUGGAAGUAUUUUUUGUAAAGUGACAUGCAAAUAAAGGAUAUUAAACUGUAUCUCUCCCUAUAUAUGACAGGUAGUUUACGUAAAAUCUAACUUACAUUUUCCUUGUUAACUUGGGUUCAUUGUGUUGUAUAUUAAGUUACUGAAUUGGGCUUUACUUAAUACUGUGAUACUUUGGGGGCCUUUUGAGUGGAGUAUUUGCUUUUAUGACAAACAGUCCCAGACUGCUAGCACCUUUCAAGUCCUUGUGUCCUUUUUUUUUUAAAAAAAAAAAUAUAUAUUUUAAUUGUAGGUGGACACAAUACCUUUAUUUAUCUUUAUGAGGUGCUGAAGAUCGAACCCAGGGCCUCUCACAUGUGAGAGGAACACUCUACCACUGAGCCACAACCCCAGCCCUCCUUGUGUCCUUUUUAAUGUUUAAAUAGAAAGUCUCUCCUUGCUGUCCCUUGUCAUUCUUUUGUGUUUGCCUAUGUGUCAAUUGUUAGCUAUCUUCCUCUUCUGAUUUCUUUCCUCUGAUCUCUGGGCUUGGCAGCCUGAUAAUUAAGCUUGUUAGAAUUGUGAGCAGUGUAGUAGUAACCAAACUAGGAACGUGGGUUGGAGCUCUUAUUCUCAGGACAGUGGGUGAGCUGAUGUGCGUGGACUUUGUGACAACCUCUUCUGGCCUUUGGAAUAUGUCUUGGCUUCCUUCCUGGUCCUGGCUGUGCAGACUGAGCGAGACUCCCACAUAGCUGUGUUCCAUUCAGGGGGAGCACGGCUGCCAUCUUCUUGGCAUAGACCCAUUGCUCUGCUGUGAGGAACAGUGUCAGUUCUCUCCUUUGAUGAGAUUCUGAUGUUGUGGGCAGAAGUGGUAGGUGAUAGUUGGUCUGGUGCAUGGAACAGAAACUAUUUGGGAAGCACAGAAAUCUUGAGACAAGAUCAUCAGCUGGGCCUGUACAGCAGGCUCUGUUCCCAAGCCCCUUACCUUUAGGGCGCCCACUGCCCAGCUUAGCUUACUGCGUGCUGCACUCUUUUCCUCCAUGUGUUCAUUGCUUUGGCUUUCUGUCAGAGCUGCCUGUUUCUUUUCUCUGCCCUAAAUUUUGGAUGCUUUCUUUGUGGAGGAGCAUUCCUGUCUUCUGAGGGAGUGAGCUGUGUUCUUGUAGAAACAGUCCCUGAUGGUGUGGGGAGCCAGGUCUGGAGACCUGUUCCUUCCUGGCUUGCUGCCCUGGCCAAGUGCCCCAGCUGUGCCUUGGCAUCCCCCUUUCUGGAAUAGGUUUAAUGUCUUUUUCCACCUUUUAGGAUGAAAAUUAGAUUUUAUAUUUGAAAAUGCUUUAUGUGUAUAUAAUUUAGAUAGAGGCCUAAUUUGUGGGGUUGAUUCUGCUGAUAUUUGAUUCUCUAUUUCUGAGGUAUUAAAAAUAUUGUUGUUAUUAGUACUAGUAACGAUAAGUCUUGCUAAAACAAUGUAAUUUAAAAUCUUGAAUAGUUUUUUUUUCAAUAGUUUUUUUUCCUGAAUAUGUUCUAUUGGAAUAUGUGUAUUUGUAUAAAUGGGGACAUUUAUUAAGUGCUCUUUUAUUAUUUUCAGACUGUUGAGUAUACUGGCUUCCUGACCAAAUUCAAUUUAUGAGAAUUCUAAUGAGAUUGUGAUUCAUAUCUGGAAAGAUUUUUUUAAAAAAAUUCUGAAAUAACUUUAAAUACACUUUACAUGAACAUCUGGUAGUAGUGAAUCAAUUGAUUUGAUUUCUCAGACAGUAAAUCAUGCUGCUGUAUUCUAGAACUAGUUCCUAUGAGCUUAAACUGGCAGCUGCUCUGUGGUCUGUUCUAGUUACUUGUUUGCUUUUGGACUCGAAUCUAGGUGUGGAACUCAGUUUAAAAGCCCAAAAUGGCCCCAGUUUCUUAGAGGUUCCCAUUUCACUAUUUAAUUUUGCCCACCCCAGGAGGAGGUAGCACUACCUACUGGACCUGGACCUUAUCCUUUUAAUGUAUGUGUCUUGCCUUCAUUUUGACUUUAUCCCACAGGAGUGUUGUGAGGUUAUUAUGGUAUGGCAGCACUUUUGGAAAGAUAAUGAGUACAAAAUAUUUUUGUAUUGUACUAGGUAUAUAUAUAUAUAUUCCCAUUGACCUUUUGUGAUUCAGGAAAAGGAUAAAGCUGCUUAGGGGUACUUGUUGGUUAUUCUGUUUCAGAUGUUAUUAACCCAGUUUUAUGGAGUAUCCCCAAAGCAUGUCUUUUGACAGAUCUUGUGCUGUUGUAUUUAGCAGGUGUGUGCCCAAUCAAGAAGUUUUAUAUUAGUCAUUAGUAUCUUGAACACUAUUGCCUAUCCCCCAUUUCAGUUUCCUUAACUGGGUCUAAAAUAGCUUUGGUCCUAUUCCCUUAUUUCCUGAAUAAGAAAAGGGAUCUUGUUGUUCUUUUUAAAGAAAAAAAAAAAGUUAUAGCAUGACUAAACCAAGACUUCUUCUUGCUGUCAGUCAUUUGCUCCUGUCUCUGUGGCAGGAACACUUAGGCUCAGCACCUCAGAACUGUUGUCCAGGGUACCAGAGCUAGGAGGCAACUCGGGUAGUGUUAGUUGAGGGAGAGCAGUGCCUAAAGAAAAAAGGAGACCUUUGGUAAAGCCCAAGGCUGGGAUGGGGUUACUGUUUCAUAAGUUCAACAAACAUUUGAGCUCCUGUUAUAUGCCAGAUGUUGAAUUAAGUACUGGAGACACUGGGAUGAACAAGCCAGACAUGCCUUCAGGAUGCCCUUGGUAGAGUCUGAUUUUGAGUUUGUUAGAAAAAGAUUUAUCAUAGAUCAAAAACUAGAUGCUGAAUGGCCUUGGGAGUUAAGGUGGAGUUGUAGGUUGGCACUCAACAUUUCUGGAAGGAGUGACUUUUCUGUAAGUAAAAGACAGUUUACAAAUGGCAGUGGGUAGAGACUGCUAGCUGGUCCCCAAACCUACUUCCUCUUCCUAGGCAUUUCCGAGCAUCCCUUGCAUUAGGUGUGGCUUUGUGGCCCAAUUCUCUUCAGUGGAGUGAGAGCAGAGAAGUGUGCCACUUCCAGGCCUAUUUCCAGAGUCUUUGUGCACAGGUUUGUGCCUUUUUCUCAUCUGGCUCAGUGCAGAGGAGUCAUGGAUCUAGAAAGUCCCCUAGCAACUCAGAUGCCAGAGCCACUGCUUAGAGGAGAGCUGUCUGCUGAUUGGGGACAUCUGUUUUGGACUUCACACAGGCUAGAACUAAAUAUUUAUGGUAUUUGCACCAUCAUACAGUUUGUUCUAGAGUUAGGCUGCCUGACUAAUGUAGACACCACUCCUAGAAUGCUGCCUAAGGCUGGUGAGUUUACUAAAGGGGUGAAGGAUUUCCGAUUCUGCCUUGAUUAUUUGUAUGUAAUGCUAUGUGCAGUGGCUGUGCACUUCAUGAAUCAAUCUAAGUCAGGAUAGAGUGACAAAAAAUGUUUAAUGCAUCACUUGUAAUUGGUACAGUGGUUUAUUGCACUCAGUAUGGCCUCUCUCUGUCUUUGAUUUAAUAAGCUAUGUGGAUUCUUAGUUAGCUUUAAAGGUACUCUGUGGAGACUUAAACAUCCUCAGACCUUAUUUCAAAGAACUGUAAAUACAGUUUUCAUCAUGAUACUUCUUCUAUUCCAAAGACUGUUAUCACUUCUUAUUAUAUAGCGUUUUGUUUUAGUAAUUCAUCAUCCAAAAACUAUGUACAUAUGUAAUGAAAGUGCCUGAGUGUAACAUCCUGACCUGAAGAGAGACAAAAUGAGUAAAACAUAGCCCCUGCUUCAAAGAGUUUGUCCUUAGCAUAUUAACAGUUACUUCAUUUCCACACUGCCACCAUCUGCCCCUCAUUUUAGCCUUUAAUGUGCCAUGCAUUAUUUUUUCAUUACUCCAUUUUCAUUGUUGUCUCCUCCACUAGAUAGUGUACUUUCUGAAAGCUGGAAAUAUAGUUUUUAGUGUUCUGCAUCUCCCUUUGGGUACUUCUAGCAGAUACUGGGUGCUAUACUUAAUUGAGUUAACUAUUUCUAUGGUAUUUCUUAAUUUAUCUUGCUUGGAUAUUUUAGUGUAGUUUUGUAUUAUAGUCUGUAUUAGCAGACAAAAGUACUUUUUAACCUAUUGAAAAUUCAUAGAAUUAUGCAGUUAAGGAAUGUCAGGACUGGAAGGAUCUUUUUUUAGACCAUUUAUCUAAUUCCUGAUUUUUUAGGUUGAUCAUCUGGUUCCUGAUACUCAAGGUGUGUCCAUGAAUCACGGCAUCGGCAUCACCUGGGGCUUUUUAGAGACAGACUCUCAGGCCCCACACAGACCUGUGAAUCAGAACCCGCAUUUAAACAGGAUCCUCAGAUGACCUGCAUGCACAUAAAGUUGGAGAAGCCCUGCUCAAGUCAACCUCCCAUUUGACUCUUGAGAAAACCAGGAAAGUCAUAGUUGCCCAGAGCCACACAACUGUUUAUUUCACAUCUUGGGAUCACUUGGGAACUAUUAAUGCUGGGGUCCACUCCCCAGACAUUCUGCCCUAACUGGUCAGGAUUGCAGUCUGGGCAUCAGAAUUAAAAAAAAAAAAAAAAAAAAAAAAUCUCCCUAGAUGACUGGCUGAGGCUGAGAAUUGUUGAUUUGUUUAAUGAUGAAAUUCAGGUUUCUUGAUAUUCUAAUCAAGCAUUUCCUUUACCCCACCAUGGAUAUACAUUUAGGAACAACAAAAAAAGUUCCACUGAGUUCUCAUAGUAGCACAUCACUCUUCUGUUUCCUUUGUAACAUUUAUCCCUAUUAGAAAGUAUCCCACUUACUGUCUGCCUUGCUCCUCUGACAUGCAUCUAUGGUGGGCAGGCCCCUUGCUUGUCUUGUUGACUGCUGGAUCCCAGUUCCCAGAACAGUGUCUGGCAUGUGGCAGGUUCUCCUUUCAUAAUUUUAGACCAAAUGGAAGGAAUUAUAAUAAGGAGAGAAACACAGGCUGCUUUAGAGGCACUCAGAGGGCUGCCUAGCCUUGCCGCUAGAGGCUUUCUGAUGGACUAAUGCAUGGGCCAGUGCAAGACUUGGCCAAGUAGAGCCCAGGACUUCCACAGAUGAGGGAGGGUGCAAGCCCACAUCUCUCUGACUUGAAAGCUUGUGCCUUUCCAGUCUGCCCUGUUGUCCUGAGAGGCUGGUUUGCCUGGACUUCUCCACAGUGAACUGGGGAACUGGGAUGGACCACUUCAGCUCUACAGAUACUUGGGGCUGCCUCCUCCCUCUGUGGCUGAGUUACCACAGUAUUACAGACAGGCAUCUAGUGACAGCGAUGCUCAGUUUGUGGUCCUGUGCAAGACCCUCACUCACUGCUCAGCACAGGAGAUCUUCUUCAAAAGCAGCCAUUCCCUUUCCACUUUUCUUGUGCUUUGGCUAAUGUGUUGUGAGAGCCUGGAGGUUUUGAGGUUAGGAUGACUUACUAGAUUUUACUCUCAACUUAUGUGAGUUGCUUUCCUAGUUAAAUUAACUGUUAAACUUUAUUAUACCACUGCUAUAAGAAAGCAUGCUUGAUUUUGUCCACGAUAUUUUUGUUAUAGAUACUAUUUUCAUGCUUACUUUUUCCUGUUUGUUAUUUGGAACAUUUUACCACUGAUUUACUUGUCAUCAGACUUUGAAUUUGGGUAUGAAGAUCCUUUUUUUAUGAAGCUGUUCAUUAGCGUGUCUCACUGAGCAUAAAUUUUGACUGGGACCAUGGUUAAGAUAUCUUGAAAAAUGCUUCAUCUUUUGCUGUCUGCUUUUGGUAAUAGGAUAUCAGAAAAUAUCUUCUUGAAUAUAAGAUUUUUUUUAAACACCAUAAAACUUUUGUUUUUGGUACUGGGGAUCGAACCCAGGGGCACUUAGCAACUGAGCUAUAUCUCUAGCCCUUUUUAAUUUUUAUUUUGAGACAGGAUCUUGCUAAGUUGCUGAGGCUGGUCUCAAACUUGCAACCCUCCUGCCUCAUCCUCUGGAGUGAGUCACUGGGAUUACAGGGAUUACACACACUUGGCCUAGCACCAUAAACUAAAAGUUUCAGUUUAGAAUCUGUAUGAGUAUGAGAAUGUUGCCUUUGUGUUGCAGUGGGCUGUUGGAGACUGUAGAUGUCGGAGGAAGGCAAGUUCUGCUGAUGUCACAUCAGCCUCUUUGCAUGCUAUCAUCCCAUUCUCUGAGGGUAGUCCAUAGUUCAGAGGGAGGAUCCUUGGAUCCAGAUGCUUUCCCAGGUAUCAUGGGCUGAACUCAGGGGUGCUUUACCACCGAACUACAUCCCCAGCCCUUUUAAAAAAUAUUUUAUUUAGGGAUGGGGUCUCACUGAGUUGCUUAGGGCCUUGAUAAGUUGCUGAGGCUGGCUUUGAACUCCCGAUCCUCCUGCCUCUGUCUCCCAAACCACUAGGAUUACAAGCGUGCACAGUGUGCUCAGCCCCAGGUUGUUAAUUCACAUAUUACUAUAGGUAGCCACUGCUGAUGAACUCAAAGAGAGACAGUUAAAAGCCUAAGAACAAGAAUUUUUCCAGAAACAGAAAAGAAUUAAGGAGUUGAUGGUUAUCCUGGUAGCUUGAAGGCAUUUUAUGGAGAAGGAUUUAUUAUAUGGACCCUGAAAAUAAUUUGACUUCUGAAGCACUUGACUAUGGAUGCAAGGGAGAGGAAAAUUAAAAAUUCAUGGAAGUCAAGUUUAGUCAGGUUUUAACAUUCUUUUUGGCAUAAAAAAUUCAGGCUAUCCUCACUUUGUUCUUAGAAAAUGUAGAUUGUUGAAGAGUGUCCUUAUUAACAUAGUAACAAUCACUUAUUUUAUUUGUUAGGUCUUUUUGAAUUUAAAGUACUUUGGAAUGUAUUAUUCCAUUUACUUCCCCCUCCUGCCCUGUAAGACAAGAGUGGUCUCUUGUCUUUUUUUUUUGAUGAGGAAAUACAGAGAGAGGUUCAGUUACUUUCCCAAGGACAGCUAGCAAGUGAUAGAACUGAACUCUUCAUAGUUGAAAUAAGAAAUGUUAAGGGUGGUUGCUGAACUUGUAAACAAUCUUUGGUUUUCUAAGUAUACAAAUGGAUAGUUUAUAAUGUAGGAUGCAUAAUCUAAAAUUUUACAUAAUACCACAACCAAACAAAAAAGUUAUUAGGACUGAAAAUAAUUGGCUGGCAAGACCCAAAGAAAAAAAAUUUAAGUUACCCUUGUGUAGAUUUUAAUAUGAAAACUCUAUAGUUUUAUCUGACUGAAGCAGCCUGAGAGCAAAGACUCUGUCUUCCGACUUCCUCCUGAUUGUUCCAGCCUCUAUACUGCUGGUUGGCACUGAGAUUCUUUUGUAUGAGUUGGGUGUUGGGCAUAUUGCUGGGAAAUGGUUAAUAAUGUUGAUAUUGAUUGACUGCAAAAUGAAUAUAACAUUGGUUCUUAGUAAAAAUUUACUCUAUGUACUGCACAUAUGUGUCCCAUUUAAAAAAGUAACAAAAAUAAUGAAUGUUCACUAGCAGGGUUCUUUUUCUCACACACAAAUCUUAGGUAGUUGUUUGUGGUGUUGGGGAUUCAUGCAUGCUAGGCAAGCGCUUUGCCACUGAGCUGCAUCCCCAGCCCUUAUUAUUUUACUUCGAAACAGGACCUUACCAAGUUGUCCAGGCUGGUUUUGAGCUUAAGAUCCUCCUGCUUCAGCCUCCUGAGUUGCUGGGAUUACAGGCAUGUGUCACUGCACCUGGCUGUAUCUUAAGUUUUGCAACCAUCAUAUGCCUGCAGUGAAAAGAACUUUUUCCCGAAAUUUGUGAAUAAAUUGAUAAUUUUGUCAUUCUCAAAUACUUUGUUAUGUAUUUUUUAAAAACAAGAACAUUACUAUAAUAUAUUAAUCACAAUUGGGAAAUUAAUAUUGAGACAUCUCUACCUCUAAUCCUCAAAUUCUAUUUCAGUUUUGCCUGUUGACCCAGCAGUGACCUUUGUUUAAAAAAAAAAUGUGUAAUCUGAACCUUGGGAUACAUUCUGUUGUCUCUUCAGUCUUAUUUAAUACAGAACAGUUCUCAGUCCUUUUUGACUUUCUUGACCUUGACCCUAUUGAAGAUUGCAGGCCAGUCAUUUUGUGGAAUGUUCUUCAUUUUGGAUUUGUCUGAUGUUUCCUGAUGAUUAGAUUCAGGUUUUGCAUCUUUGUCAGGAAUAUCACAGAAGAGCCAGAAUAUAUCUUUUUCAAAGAUUAGUUUUACAUUUUAUUUUCUGUUUCCUUAGAGCGUUUCCCAAAGUGUAUUCUGCGGAACUAGCACCUACUGUGUUCUCAACACCGUGCCACCUAUAGAAGGUAGGAUUUGAAAAAGCUUUUGACUUAACAGGAAGGGGUGGGCUUGGCAGUGAGAGUGACUCCUCUGUCAGUGUAGUGAAUCAGCUUUUGACCAGGACUUAGAAGGCCUGGAUUCUGCCUUUUAACUGCUGUGUGAUCUUAGAUGAGUUACUUAAUCCUUCUGGGGUCGCAGAAAGAACUCUCUCCUCAUAAAGUUACUGAGGAUUCACGAAGCAAUGGAUUCAGUCACACAGGAAAGCCAAAGCACUCUGCAGAUGUUGGAUAUUAAUAGAACAGUUGUGUAAUACUAGAGUCCUAUACCAAGUAGUUUAGAGUAGGAAUAGUGUGACAAUGUGGGAGAAGCCACAGGUCAUGUUUGAUCCCAGUUGAGCCACUUGUAUCUGUGGAUCCUGGACAAUGAAUCUCAACCUCAGGUUCCUCAUCUGUAAAGUGGGAGUAAUGAAGCUUUUCUAUUUUAUCAGAGGAUUAACUGAGAAAGUCCAAUGUAAAGUACUUUCUGGGUGCUUCAUGUAUUAGAGUCCCACAAAUGCUUAUCUCCAGUCAGUAAUAGAAAAUAGAUUUACUUGAUCACAUGUAACUAAAGUUGGAAUUGUAUGGAAUAAAGCAGGAUAGGGUACUCUCAAACCCAAAUUGAAGUCAUGGAUUGAAGGGCUUCUGUGCCUGUACUUUUACCUGCCCCAUUCACAUAUUUUUAGAUUGAAAAUGUAAAUGCAGAAUAGAAGUUUAUCAAACCUGAGUUAUGAGUCCACCCAAACCUGGACUAGAGAUUUAGUAACAUGAUUGACAGGAUAAAGGUAAAUCUGGGCCAUCUAAAAAUAGGAAGGAGGAGAAAGGUUAUUAAAGAGCAAAACUAGUUAAUGUUUUUUUACUUAAAAAAAUUAUUUUUUUUUACCCUUUUAAAAAUCUUUUCUGUAAUUAUAAUUGGGCUUAAUACAUUGUGGAGACUUGCAUUGGAAAAGAAUAAUGCAAAAUCUGAUCAAUGCUUGGCACAUAGUCAGUGCUUAAUUAAUAUUUAUUUUGGAUGAAUAGUGCUUUGAAGGUCUGAGGUUAGUCAGGACAAUGCUGGCUGCUGUGAGCACUGUGCUGACUUGGAUGUAACAAUAUGUGCUUAUGUUUUCCUGAAUCAGUUCCUCUCCUACUCAUUAAAUCUCAGCACAUAAUAAUUAGAGCUAAACAGAAAAUUGUAGAGCUUCCUUUUAAUUUUACCACUCCAAGUUGUUGAUCAAAUAUAUUCCCAAUAAGAUUUAGCAAUUGGAUACACUGUUAUAUCAACUUAUUUUGAACAGUUUGGUCUAGAGGUUGAGAGAUUAAUCAUAAUCAACUUGAUUGAAUAACAGUCUUCAUCGUUGUAGAACUCAUUAUUUAAUUUUUAUUAAUUAUAAAUCAAAACGAUGUAUAAUUUCUAGUUUAGAGUUAAUAUAGUUUCAGUUUACCUUGCAGAAGGCACAGCCUGUCCCAAGGAACAUGUCAAAUACAUUUCUUUGGAUUUAAAUAAAGGAUUUGGCAAUCUGAAUCAGAAUUUUUGGAAACAAAACUGAAAGCAAGUGUUCUACUUUUUUCUUGUUAACUAAGUGAAUGAGCAUUUUUAUACAUUUUAGAAAGAUUUAGUUAAAUUAUAGUAUGCCUCUAAAAUUAUCAUUUGGAAAAUAUUUGAAGGUUGACUAGAAAGAAUGGUUCAUUCUCUAGAAUUAUAGCUGUCAGCCAGAUAAAUCAUCUGUCAAUUUUAAGAGCUUCACUAGUUAUGUUUUUAUUGUGAAGUAGGUUAGAAAAUUAUUUUGUAGAGUCAUAUAUCAUACGUGCAUAUUUUGUUAGAUGACAAUAGUGAAAUGUUUCACUGACAUUUGGUUGACACUCCCACCUUGCAGGGUUAGGGUUUGACUAUUUGGAUUGAAGACUGAGAUGCAGUUGAAACCAGCAUAUACCUUAAUUUUAUUAAGAUACUGUUAUUAGGAUUUAAAAACUGGCAUGUUAUUAAUCAUUUAUAGCUAGUCUAAAAACAUUACACAGUAGCUUUUAAUUAAAAACACAUUUUCAUGCAGUAUUGCCAUGUGAACAGUUCCUUGCCAGUGUAAAAGCAGUUUUUCUUUAUUACUCUUUAACCAGAAACACCAAAAAUUUAAGACAUGAGUUUUAACAUUUUUGCCUUUUUGAGUUCUUAAUACUUUCUUUUCCCCAGUAGUGAAAUCACCAUAUUCAUAAUGCAUAGUGGGAAAAUUUACCCAACGUUGUGUUUCUUUAAAAACAUCCAGUUUACAUUAGUAUGAGCCUAAGUCCUGGAAAUGGUAGAGUUUAGAAGCUGAUUAAGGGGAACCUGACGGCUGGUCAUGGUCUUAUUCAUUUUUAGGCCCUGGCUGCACAUCCCUUGAGUGCUGGAUGAGGAAGCCUGGUUGAGAUGGCACUUACAGAGCUGUUCUGCUUUUUCUUCUUUAAAAGCCUCUGGGCUGAAUCACCACAGCCUGAUUUGGUAUCAUAGUGGAGGACUGAAGCUUUUCCUGUAACAGCCAGUUGUGGUGUCAAGAAAACACACACACACACACACACACACACACACAGUAUUUACCAUGGGUAACUAGGUUCCUUAUAGAGGCUAAAAGGACAGAAAAUAGAAAACAUACCAGGUUGUGACCACAAACUCUGAGCCAGAAGCUAAGGUACACUCCUCUGCUCUGAACAUCACUGUUUUUCAGAACUCUUUAACAGCUAGCUUUCUCAGAGACAAGACUGUUCAUAUGCAGUGCAGUGUAAGCCCAUCUGUCAAGCACCUAGCACAGUGCUAUUUUCAGAAAAGGUACCCUGUAAAUAUUGACUAUUUGAAUUGAGUGUAGAUUUUAGAAUUUUAUCUCUAUUCCCCAAACCGUAUACAUCGUCAUGGUGAUUUUUUUAGAAAUGAGAAUAAAACCACUUUAGGGGCUGAGAGAAGGGAGGUGAAGACUCCUGUGAUUUGGUCUUCUGUGCUUUAAAGUUUUAUGGCCCAUGGUACCUCCCUCUGGAGGACGAAGUGCAGGGAGCAUGCAUAAGCACAUAAAAUUACAAAGGUUUUAUAGUGUGUAAUUAAUACAGAACUUUCUAUGAACUUUCUCCUAGUUAACAGUUUCCUUUUGAUUUCUAAGUAAGACUUUUUGAAAGUUUAAUCUUAUUUUGCUAUUAAAUUAAAACUUUAGAUUCUUAAAAGCAAUCAAUUUUUAAGUUUUUUGAGUUUUUAUCCUGUUAUAGAAAUAUAUGAUGGCAUUAUAAUUCAAUUGGUUAUGUAGUUUAUGGACCAAAAAAGAUUUAGUACGAUAAAACUCUCUUAAGUUCAUCCCUAUAAAAUAUUCCAUAUGAUGUAGUAAAUUUUUUUAGACUAUUUCUAUGCCCAAUAUUUUCCUUUUAAGAUCUUUUCCGUGAAAAGAAAUGUGUUAAUCAGAUGAGAAAUGUUUGGAGAGAGUUUUCUGAGCUUAAAUAUUUUAAAAUUCUUUUAUGUUUUUGCACGUUCAAAAAUAGGCUGUGCUAAACAAAAUUACUGUGAAUAACAUCUUUUUAUAACAUAAAAUGAAGAUUGUAGUAAUUGAUUACGGAUAUAUGGAUACAUUCCGACGACUUAAGAAUUCUACAAUAACUUGUUAUCAUUUAAAAUCUCUCUAAACACGGAUUUCGUCUUAAUCUUUUAGAGAUUAAGAGAUUACUAAACCCUUUUGACUUUUAUAAUUCAUUGAAUGGGUUCCAGUGUGUUAACCUUUUAUCGUCUUGACCCGGUCUUAGAACCAGAGAAAUUCAGACUUAAAUCACAAAGACAACAUGGAAUAAUUAUAGUCUUUUUCAACUAUGUCAACAGAAUGACCUCGUUUAAAUCAGGAAUUACAAAGUCACACGACAAAGAAUUAUGGAUCAAUAAGUAAUGUGGGACACCAAUAUAAAACCCCCUUAAAUAAAUCGGGAUUCUUUUUAACCUCACCCAUUAACCUUUGCAACUGGAUUCACACGGUGUUGACGAUUCCUCAAAACUUGGUCCGUUUCCCUGAUACAAUAUCCUAAGUUUAUUAUUUACUAUACGUUUAUUUACCGACUUUAUUUACAAUAUAUAUAUAAAAUCUUCCGUAGAACAUCUGACUAAUAUCCAACAGGGUGAAUUGUAGAUCAGAUUUUCAUUAAUUAAAAAUUUUUAAGUAAAGUUUCUCAAUGUAAAACUACUUUAUAUAAGACAUCUAUACACGUACAUAUAGUUCAAUUAGUUUCACUCUAAAAAGUUAAGUUCUAUCUUUCCAAUCGACGUCUAAAUUGAAGGACCAUAAAUAUUCUAAACACUGAACCAAAACUUUCCUACUUAGUGUAAACAUAAGUUUCCCUGUUUCACCAUAAUCAAUUAUUUUAUGAGUACAUAAUAAUAUUAAAAAGAAUGGAUUUUUAAAAAUUCGAAAAAGUUCACCAAUUAUUUUCUAAAAAUCCAAAACGGUCCAAUUUAGUAAAACAUUAAUACUACACGAAGUACCUUUGUGCCCCCCUUUUUUUGGUAAUUUUCAUUGUAAGAUAAAUACCGUCGACGACCCUAUAAGGAACAAGGAAACGAACACUACCUCGUUUCGAGGUAGGACAAAAUCUUGGAACACCGGUCGAUGGACGACGGUAGGUAGACUAGUCCAACAUCUACUCACAACGAUUCUCCUUAUCACCGGGAGACGACGAGAACCAGAAUGUCACUGGUUCGACUCGACGACAAAGACUGGAACGGUCAAAUGAAUUACCCUCCGAAAAGAGAAUAAAACAGACUUAAAUAACAAAAGAAGAAAUAUCUACUAGUACCCUUGUCGUUAUCAUCAGUACAUUUUUAGAAAAAUGGCUUUUUCGACGAACUUACAGACGGCUUUACAAGUUCAAAUGGUUUUCUCUCCGUGGCAACCUUGUGAUUACUCCAUCUAUUUAAAGAUAAAAAUUCCUAUAUUAAUGAAAUUCCUGUUUAAAAAAUCCAACAAAACGAAUCGUGAUGAAAUAUAAUACAAUUUAAACUUUAUACCUUGAUCCUUCAAUAGUUACUCUUCUUAUAAAUUAGACCUAAACUGUUUUUGGUUGAACACAGAACUCGAGAGAAACUAGACGAACCGAACAUAACUUUGUACAUUUUACACGUGCGACUGAAUUGAUUCCAUCGUACUUAAAGACACAAACAUAAAAGAACGGAAAACCACGGAACGAAAACCACCAAUUGGGACGGGUGUAAAGUCAAUUUGUAAUCAUGACCGAACAGUAUUUGAUUAUUUAUACGUCACAAUUACAAAGUGUCUUUUAUGUCGUAAAACUGUUACACUUCAAAACGAUUUUAACCCUUCCUCGUUUCCUCGAAAUCAUAAGAGACUAAUUGAAAGUUUGCUUGGAGCAUUAAGACUUUACCUCAACGAUGGGCAUUUCUACUGAGAAUGGAGGCUGUGUGCAGUAGCAUCCAAAUGGAGGGCAGAUUGAUGAAAGUUUAAUUUCUUGGGCAAAGUGACUGCUUGUAGUAAAUUUUAAUCUGUGAGUUGUAGUAUUAGGAGUGCAUUGCUUUGUCAUCUUUUUAAACUUUGAAAUCUGAAUACUUUUGUUUAGGGUUAUAGCCAUUAAUGUGGUGACAAGAAUUGGGUAUGUGUCCAUUUUCAGUGUAGAAUAAUAUUCAUGUAGUGUGGUUAUAGGGAAUCAUUUUGUGAAUUAUAUUCCUGUAGUUCUGAUGGCUGAGGUUACUGUUUUGCUGAGUGACAAUAUGAAUGUUCUAAAUCCAUUGGUCUGAAUACGUUGGUGUUGCUGGCUCAACAUUUACUUCAAGUUAGGUUAAAGUUAGUGUAUUGGCCUUGAUUGGCACUCAGGUUUGUCAGGGCCCAAGAAGAAAACAGUGCUGUCUGAUGAGCCUUGAUUUUUGAAAGUUCUUGACUCAAUACUUUUGUUUCAAGUUGUGGGAGGUUCCAGGGAUGAAAGUACCUUUCCUUAUCAUAAGUUACAGAUUUAAAUACUUUCUAUUAUUUCCUUGUCUCAUCUGAUUUCAGAUCUCUCUUAAAGUAUGUACAUUUUUGAUUAUUUGUAUAAAUGGAAUUUUUCACCUGGGUAGGAUCCUUUUGUUUUGACAAACAUUAGCUAGCUUAGAGGCCGAAGGUUUUAACCAGUUACAUAUUAACUAUUUCGAACAUUUCAGAUAUAAAAAUGAAGUAUGCUGAAAAUUAGUCUUAAUCAUGUAUUGUAACUCUUAUCAGCAACAUGAUAUAAUUUGGAAGGCAUUCAUUAACUCUGUACUAGGUUAUGGAUUAUUUAAAAAUUCGGUAUGUUUCUUAGUAUUCCCUGGAACAUGUAUUGAUACAAUAUUAUUAUAUAUUAUUCCAGUUUUAAGUGUAAAAAAACUUACAAUAGGUAUAGGUAUGUUCUUUCUCUCUCCCUCUCUUCUUUUUUUUCUUUUUUGGCACUGGGAAUUGAACAUAGGGGGCUACAACUGAGCUAUAUCCCCAGUCUCUUUUUAAAAAAUGUUUUGAACAGGCUUGUGUUAAGUUACUGUUGGAUUAAGUUAAGUAGGUGUUUUUCAAUGUUAUAUUUCAAAUAAAAUUGGCAAUGUAAUUAUGGUUUAAAUUUAUAUUUAAAGCUAAAAAUUACCCAAUGAUUAAAAUUGGUGACUUUAAGAGUCUUAUUAAAGUGGGUAUAGCAUUGUCAGAAAUUUACUUGGUAGAUUAUUUAGAUUGGUAGUUUCAAAACUUUUUUUUGAAACUUUUAGCAAUGUCCUUCAUCUUUCAUAAGUUUACCUCUAAAUUAUUGACAUGCUUCAGUUUAUUAAUUGUUAGGUAUGGUGUAAAACAUCCAUAAAGAACUUUCAUAGAGGAUACAAUGAAAAGAUCAUGAGGAAGUCAAUCUUCCAGGACCCAAUAUAUGUAUUCCUCUAUACCAUGGGUUGCUAUAGUCCAAGUUCCAGAGAGGAAAUGCAUCCCUCUUGCUGACUGAUGGAAUGUAAAAUUGGGGUUAUGGAUAAGAAAAGGUGAUUCUCUUUGGCAGGUAUUGCUGCUACAGAAGCACAAAGAAGUGUGUUCCCAAGGUUGAUGGCAGCAGAAGGUGGCACAGCUGAGGAGGGCAGUCACAUAGUGUCCUUGGCCCUUGUGAUAGCUUGAUCCUGCAGUAGUUUGUUAGCGCAACACUGGCAAAACUCUUAGGAGAAAACUGAAUUGAUAGGUAAAAGACCUUGGUGUGUUUUUCCUAUUUAAUUCUUGGCUUCAGGAAAAAUAGAGGAAUAUUAAGUGUGACAGUGGAAGACUUAUAUUAGGGGUUGUUAAUUCCGCAGGGUGUUAUGUGGCAGUGAACUGGCUUGGAUGUUAGAAGGAGCACAACAAUUAGUACAAUUACUAAAGCAUUUCCUUCUUUGGUCUUGUGGAGUAUUGAUACUUGCCCAUUUUCGUCAGCCUGCCAUUCUUUAUGUCCCCAUUAAAAUCUGAAGAAAACCAAGUUCUAUGAACUCGCCUCUCGCUGGGGCUUUGUGGUUCUAGGUGCAGGUAUAUCCUGUUUAGUCAACACUGCUGCGAAACUCCUUGACUCGCUCAUCAUGUGAAGGACAGCUGCACCAUGCUGCUGGGAGACUGUUUCCUUCUAGAGUUGAAAUAGAUGCUGUGUUUUGGUUAAAGGCCAAGUGAAGCAGUCAGCCUGUGUUUAGAAGCCGUGUUGUUUAAAAACGGCAUUUCUUCACAUCACGCUUCUUUAGGACAGGGGACACUCACUGGGAGAGGUAUGUGGGCCUGAGAGUGGUCAAGUGCGUGAUACAGUUGUGUUUUCCAUCUCUGCACAGUAUGUUUGCCAAGUAAGACUGGGGGUCAGAACUGCCUGUGAAAAAUAGCAGCUGUCAUCUUUCUUGGUCUCCAGUGUCUUCACCGCCUGCCCUCUGCUAAAUGUGUAUGGUUGAAAUCCUGGACAUAAAGUGACUCCUCUUAUACUUUUAAGGAAUUCCUUUACUCAGAUUUGGGUUAAAAUAUUUGUGGCUAUUCAGAACCCAGCUUUUAUACUUGUGCCUGCCUGUGCUUAUGCACGUGUGUGUGGGGGAGAGGGUGUGAGACGGGGCCUAUGCACAUGUUGCCAUUUAUUGAGCACCCAUUCUUUGCUAGUGACUGGGUAUUUUUUAUAAUUAUUUCUAAGCCUUGUAAUAAUAUUUUAAAAUGGGUAAUAUUUCCUAUUAGAUAUGAAGAAGUAUAGGUAGGAUAGGGUUGAAUAAUUUGGUCAAAACAACACAUUUGAUAGGGCGUGUUUCUGAACUUAAUUUCUUUCAUGUUACUUAUUCAUGCCCAGGAACUUUCAUUCUAUUAUUUGUUGUCUAGGUUUUUAAUUGAAGACUCUUUAACUCUAAGCUGCUUUAGUGUGCUCAGCAAAUCCAUUCUGUAUUGUACUUUUGAAUUAGAAGGAGUUAAUGGAGAAUUAAUAUUGGGGGGGGGGGGUCAGUGCAAACAUUUGGUGCAGCUGAAAGUCACCAAAAGAAGACUUUAACAAGAUGAGGGAUCUUUGGUCUAGUUAAGCUAUUUUAAACCUUUUUUAACCUAUUGAAAUACGUAAAAUCUCCUGUCCUUCUUGAAUGUUAUUUACAGUUCCAGAAUAAAUUAGAUGCUGUACCUAAAAACAGAUCAAUUUUAGAUUAUUCUUUUCUUAACCACAAGUACUCUUCCCAAGGUUCUGAAGACCAGAGAGGAAAUGAUGAUGACUACAACAGUAAUUGUGGAAGCAACAUUUAUUGAACGUAUAUUGUAUGCUAGGCACUAUUCAGUCUUUUACAUGAAUAAUCACAUUGAAUCUUUGAAUUAAUACUAUGAGACGGGUUAUUUGAUUAUCUUUGUAUUAUAGAUGAGGAAACUUGAGACAUGGAGAUGUUACAUAGUGUUCCCAGAGUUGGAGCUAGUUGCAAAGGGAGGGUCUGGGAAGUCCAGUCCAGGCUCAUAGUCCCUCCUGUUCUGUCCCAAAGAACAAUUUCAAGUGGGCUUUUCCAUGAUCUUUCAGCAUUUUAGUGACUUCUAAUCCUUUUAUAGAAUUGUUUGACAUUUUUAUUCAGUUGUAUCUUCAAGUAUUAUAAAUAAACAAUGUAUUUUUGCAAGCUUAUUUUUAAAAAGUAAGCAAGCAUUUAUUUUCUAGAGAAAUAGGUUUGAUUUUUUAAUCAUGAAUAUUAUUAAUAUGUGGGCUUUGGAUAAUGAAGAAAAUAUAUUAAGAGUAGAAAUUUUGUACCAGUACUUGGAGUUAGGCCUGAUUUGUAUUUUUGGUGCAGGGAAGAAAGACUGUAUGAAACACAGAGCAUGUUCUUUAUUGGAAUCCAGUCUUAUUUCAUAAUCGGUUGUAUUCACAUCUGUAUUAGGUGAACUAUUACAAGAUUUCUACAUUUUAAGUUAUUAUUUUUAAGUCCCAGAGCCAGAAAUAAUUAUGCUAAUGCAACUUUCUGACGCACAAAUGACUACUUCGUAAUUACACUUAUUAGUACUCCAUAUAUGUUGUCCAGACUGAAAUUUCUUUUGUUUAGUCAUUAAUUAACUGUUUGACUUAAAAUAUAACUGGUGCAUUCCCGAGUCUCCAGAUUUCAAAUGGCUUUCUUCCAAGUGGAAUGUGGUACCAUCAACCUUGUAUAAUGAAAAACGGUCGCCCUGAAUAUGUUCAAAUCACUUUUGUGUGCUGUUUUUGAACUAUUAAUGUUCUUUCAUUUAUUUGUUUUUCUUCUAGUACAAAGUUUCUCUAGAGUAAGCAAACAAUAGAAUGCUAGUUUAUACUGAUUCUUAAAGUGACAUUACAUGUUUUUAGUUGGUAGUAGCUUCAGAAAUUUUAAUAUUAAAAAUGCCUUUUUUUUUUUUUUGGUACUGAGGAUUGUACCAGAAGGAUUAUACCUCUGAGAUACAGGCCUAGCACUCUUUUUUAAAAAAAAAAAAUUUUUUUAAUAUUUGUUUUUUAGUUUUUUAGGUUGACACAAUAUCUACAUUAUUUUUAUAUGGUACUGAGGAUCGAACCCAGUGCCACACGCGUGCUCUACCACUUGAGCCACAACCCCGACCCCUCUAGCACUCUUUUUUUUUUCUUAGAUACAUGACAAUAGUGGAGUGCAUUACAUUCAUGAUUAUCCAUUCAUAGCACAGUUUUUCAUAACUCUGUAUGUAAAAUAUGUUCAUGUAAAAUCAUGCCAUUAUAUAUGAGCUCUUUUUUUGGCAUUACAAUUCUUAAUACACCUUUAUACCACAAUUUAUCAUAUCUCUGUUUGUAUAUAAGGUAUGUCGACACCAAAUUCACAUCUUCAUACAUGAAUUUAGUAUAAUGAUGACCGUCUCCUUCCCCUAUCCUUGCUAUUCCCCUUCUCCCUCCCUUUCCCUCCCACCCCUAUUUCCUAUCUAGAGGUGAUUUUUCAUCCAUGCCCUCCCUCCCUAUUCCACUUUGAGUCACCCCCCUUAUAUCAGAGAAAACAUUUGGUAUUUGUUUUUCUGGGAUUGGCUAACUUCACUUAGCAUAAUCUUCUCUAAUGCCAUCCAUUUCCCUGCAAAUGCCAUGAUCUUAUUCUUUUUUAGUGCUGAGUAAUAUUCCAUUGUGAAUAAAUGCUACAUUUUUUAACCCAUUCAUCCACUGAAGGACAUCUAGGUUGGCUCCACAGUUUAGCUAUUGUGAAUUGUGCUGCUAUAAACAUUGAUGUGCUGUGUCCCUGUAGUAUGCUGUUUUUAGGUCCUUUGGGUAUAGUCCGAGAAGAGGAAUAGCUGGGUCAAAUGGUGGUUCCAUUCCCAGCUUUCCAAGGAAUCUCCAUACUGCUUUCCAAAUUGGCCGCACUAAUUUGCAGUCCCACCAGCAGUGUAUGAGUGUACCUUUUUCCCUCAUCCUCGCCAACACUGGUUGUUGUUUGUCUUCAUAAUAGCUGCCAUUCUUACUGGGGUGAGAUGAUAUCUUAGAGUAGUUUUGAUUCGCAUUUCAUUUCUCUGAUUGCUAGAGAUGAUGAGCAUUAUUUUGUAUAUUUGUUGAUUGUAUAUCCUCUUCUGAGAAAUGUCUGUUCAGGUCCUUGGCCCAUUUAUUGAUUGGAUUAUUUGUUUUUUGGGUGCUUGUCUUGUUGAGCUCUUUAUAUACCCUAGAGAUUAGAGCUCUAUCUAAUGUGUGAGGGGUAAAAAUUUGUUCCCAGGAUGUAGGCUCUCUAGUCACCUCACAGAUUAUUUCUUUUGCUGAGAAGAAACUUUUUAGUUUGAAUCUAUACCAUUUGUUGAUUUUUGGUUUUAAUUCUUGUGCUAAAGGAGUCUUAUUAAGGAAGUUGGGGCCUAAUCCCACAUGAUGAAGAUUAGGGCCUACUUUUUCUUCUAUUAGAUGCAGAGUCUCUGGUCUAAUUCCUAGGUCCUUGAUCCAUUUGGAGUCAACUUUUGCCUAGCACUCUUUUUUAAAAAUAUUUUUCCAAUUGUUGAUGGAUCUUUAUUUUUAUUUAUUUAUUUAUAUGUGGUGUGAGGAUUGAAACCAGUGCCUCACACAUGUCAGGCAAGUGCUCUACCACUGAGCCACAACCCCAGCCCCCUAUGUAAGAAAAAUUUUUAAACUUUAUCUCAGGGGGACUCAAUGGGUCUGACUGGAACUUGAACCCUAGAAAGAAAGAGUCGGAGGAUUAAUCGACUCUAAUGUACGUACGUGGUAUCGGGUGUCAUACAUCCCUUUUUAAGAACUCACGAGAACAUAAAAAUUAAAAAGAAACAUAUUAAAAUAUUUCAACGGUUAGCUCCCAACAUUAAAAAGUCACUAACCAAAACGAUCUAUUGUAAAAACACAAGAGAGAGAAACUUUAUACUUUGGUGUAAUAAAAGUAAUUUUAAAAAAAAAUAUCAACAUCUACCUGUCGUACGGAAGUAAAAUACACGAAUUAAAAAACAUACACCACGAUUCCUAGCUUGGGUUACGGAGUGUGCACGAUCUGUUCACGAGACGGUGACUCGGGGUCGGGGUCGGGGACUUUGAUGUUAAAAACUCCCUAGUAAAUCCUGGGGAGUUUGAAGGAUUUUCACGAGAUGUAACUCUUCGUGUCCACUUAGAUUAAUAUUUCCGAUAACUCUAUAAAACCGAGACUACUGGACCUUUCAAACAAUUGGGACUUCAUCCCGAAACAAAACUGUCUCGAUGACCGAACUACCAGGGUCUGAAUAAAAGACUUGGGUCCGUCCAGAAAAGACUAAUUUAACGUUUAUACUUUAUCGUAUACUUGUCGUUUGUGUCUCGACUUGAACUUCUCACUGUAGUAAAACAAAAACUUGUGUCACGUACGUUAGUUCAAAGUUUAAUUUACACUAUUAGAACACCGUCAACCUAAUUUACAUUAAGGAGACAAGUUGAAUCAUACUUCACUCUAUUAACCUAAGGGUUUGGGUUCAUCGUUUCCAGACAAAUAGUCUGUCAAAUACAGUUGAACCGUGAAAACGGACCCCUCUUCACCUUCAUCCGUCCUACAAAACCUUAGACACGACCCGACGUACAGGAAGGUGACACCCCUCUCACCUGUCUACUUCUGACAGGGCAUAUCGUGUAAACUUACUCUUUACCAUUCUCUUCGUCGAGAGUGGACAUCUCUUAUCACGAGUAUUUUAAACUCAUUCUACAAUUUCUUUUACAAGAUAUUUCCCUUUUGUAAGGACACCUGGGUAAAGUCAAACAUGGUUUUGUUAAAAUAACAUUAAAAUGAAGUCAUACAUCGUGGAUCUUCUUAUAGACCGGGUACCAAUAAUAAGUCUUUACGAACAACUUAUUUACUUUAUUUUAUUUUUUUCGUCAUAUCUAAAGAAUUAAAGACCUUAAGAAUACGUCUAUUUUUUGAAUCUAUAUAUACAAUGUAUUUAUCUUUGAUGUUUUGAUCAUUUUAAAGGUAAUUUCCAGAAUCACUUAAACUACCUACUACAAAAGAGUUUUGAUUCAACAAAGAACGUUGUACUUAGAGUAGGACUCACAAGAGGUCGUCCAAGAAACCUUAAACCACUAUGACAUGGUACGGGAAAAGGUACCUCUUUGACAAAACAAAAAAAGGGAGGUGUCGUCAGUAAAGAUAUUCAGACAUAAUCCGGACCCAUGUUUAUAUAGUAAAUUAGAAUAUAAGUAAAGACCAAAAAGAGUAAUCGGGUUAUUACUGAAUUUACUGUGGUGACCUAUGAUUCCACUUAAAUUAAUGUUUAAUAUUUGAACUCGUUACUUAAAAAUACAAUCUUGUAUAAACAAUAUCCACAAGGAAUAAGUCUAAAGUUUAAAACUUUAAUUUUCAAAGAUCCUUCAGAACCUGGAGACUAUCAUAAGGUGUCUUGGACUCACCUCUUGGAGACGAGCGAACUUACUUUUCUUACGUCUUGACCGAGUCUUCGACCAAGAUCAGAACCGAGACAGUAACCAGUCGGAGGAGUUCAGAAUUCGUUACCACGUGUCUCUGGAAAUUAUUUCUAACAACAACGAGAGUUUCCACAAACCUUCACGUCGUGGAAGAUCCCUCCGAACCGAGGUCGAACCCUUCAAGUAAAAAUUACAAUUAACAGAAAAAUAUUUCACAUGUUAAGUCACUAAAAAGUAUAUAGGUGUUUCAAUACGCUCGUGGUGGUGAAGAUUAAGGUCUUACAAAGGAAGGGGCACUGUCGGAGACGUAAGUCACCCCAACUGUGUACGUCGUGGAGAAGACUCGAGAACUCUAAGAAGACACCAUAACAGAACUCAAAGGAAUGAACAGAUCAUGACCUCAACUUGAAACCUGUCUAACAGGAAAACAGGUAAAGUAUUGAAUGACACGACAAACGACUCGAACGAAAAUUCUUUAUAACUCCACAUUUACUUCUACCACUUUGAGUCCACACUUAAAGGAGAGUCUGAGUCCUCUGGGAGGGUGGGCUGCCAUGGAAAGGGAAGAAUCGUGGAGAAAAUGGCAUUCUUUGGCUUAGAGGACUUCAAACUAAAGCUGGUCAGAAUCACCUUUCAUUUGCUGGUCUCCAUUUGUCUGUUUCAGACCCUCCCCACUUCCCCCAAGGCCCAAGAAUGUACAUUUUUAAAACAUACCCAGAGAAACCCACCUGGCUGAGAGCACUCAUCCUAGAUGCCUGUUUUAAUUAACCUUGGCCUUAGCUUUGCUGUCCCCAUACCACUCCAGUGUAUUUUGGGAGACUUCAGCUACAGGGAUAUGAUUGAGUCUCUUAGAGUCCUUUUCUCAUGUCUUUAGCUAGUGAGUUCCUAAGGGUCAUGGAAUGCAGAGUUGUUUUUUGGGUACUUUAUCUAAAGUAUCUGUUAAUGCUUUGAGCCUUUCAAAGCAUAGUCUGAUUUUUAAAAAAAAUUUUUUUUUUUUUAGUUGUAGGUGGACACAAUAUUUUAUUUAUUUAUUUGUUUAUUUUUAUGUGGUUCUGAGGAUUGAACCCUGUGCCUCACGCGUGCUAGGCAAGCUGUCUACUACUGAGCCACAACCCAGGCCCCACUGAGCCACAACCCCAGCCCGCAUUGUCUAAUUUUUUUGGACAUUUUUUUUGAGGCUGCAGCGUGAAGGGAAGGUCCUUCUUCCCCAUUUUUUUUUCAUCUCCAUUUAAGCCCAAGUAGCUGAAAGCAUCUGAAUCCUGAAGCUGGAUGUCAUAAUCUACCAUUUUACCUAAUCUGCCUACCUGCCAGAUGUUUCUGUUCUCUUUGUAAUUAUAAAGUCCUGUUGAAGAUUUUCAAAGAAGUUCCUAAAUACUUUUACACUGUAGAUGGGAUUGCAGAUUAGUAUAACCACUAUGGAAAUCAGUAUGGAGGCUCCUUAAAAGACAGGAAUGGAAUCACCCUGUGACCCAGCUUACCACCCUUCAGUAUUUAUUCUAAAGAAUUAAAGUCGUCAUACUGUAGUAAUAUAUUUCAUACCCAUAUUUAGAGCAGCACAAUUCACAAUAGCCAAACUGUGGAACCAGUCUAGGUGUCUGUCAAUGAAUGAAUGGAUAAAGAAUAUGUGGUACAUAUACACAAUGGAGUUUAAUUCAGCCAUGAGAAAAAAUGUCAUUUGCAAGAAAAUGGGUGGAACUUGAAAACAUUAUGUUAAAUGAAAUAAGCCAGCCUCAGAAGGUCAAGAGCCAUAUGUUUUCUCUUAUAUGCAGAAGCUGGAGAGGAAAAAGGAAAAGAAAUGUGUUGGAAGGGUACGUCAUGAAAAUCAAAGGGAGAUCAGUAGAGGAAAAGGGACCAGGGGAGUGGGGGAGAGUGAGGGGGGAAGUGCUGGGGAGUGAUAUUGGCCAAAUUAUAGUUACAUUGUGUGCAGGUACAAAUAUGUACCAACAAAUUCCACUGUUAUAUACAACUUUAUAUAAUGCACCAAUAAAAAAAUCUGGGAUAAUGUUCCUAAAAAAUAUCCCAAGUUUUCCAGUAUUGAUGCUUUCGGAAAGCUGGAAAAUCAAAUGAAAAACAGAAACAAAAAGAAAUUCAUUCUAAAUGAUGAGAAGCUGCAGCUGAGCCAGGGUGAAUGUGGUGAAGGAAGUGUGCAUGGGCAGUGCUGCUUCCUCUGCAUGGCAGGGGUCCUCGGGCAGCUUUGUACUUCUGUGAGUUCUCUUUUUUUUUUUUUUAAAUUUUUUUUUCUGUGAGUUCCGACAUGCUUCUGGGGUGGUGUCCACUGGUGGUGAAGGGUGUAGAGAUGAAAUAAAGGUAAACUUUAAAGGACCUAGAAUUUAUACUUGAGAAAGGUGGAAAUGCAGAGGGUCUUCAGCUCUGGGGAAUUGGGCAGCAGGGUGUAUGCACCCGUGUGCCUGGGCCUGCUCCUCCAGGUGGGGCGUUGUGGUAGACCUGGGGUAGAAUUCUGUGCAGACUUCAUAGCUCUGUGGUCAUUUUAUUGUGAUUUCAAAGUAGUUUAUGGGAAGGGAGAAAAAGUUCCUGUGUGCAAGAAACAAGGAGACAGAAAAAUCGCUUGCCUGGGCACAACUAGCCUGCUGUGACACCACGUCAGGAGAGAAGCAGGUGAUCUGAACGGCUGAGAACAAGGCCCAGGCCAGACUUCUGAGCAGGGAGAGACCUCAUUCUGUGUGGCUCUCAUUCAGGGAAUUGUUGAUGUCCCUGUGAGGAGACCGCUGUGGGUGGCACUGUGGUGGAGAUUAGAAGGCCUGGGAAACACAUGGUGGCAUCACACUUUCUUCGUGUGCUGACUCUGAGAGAAGCUGAUCCAAAGAGAGGCUUAUUUGGUUGGCAGAUGGGGUUCUUAUUCACCAAGGCUACAAAGGGGCACUUUUUCAGAACAAGAAGAGGGAGAAGCAUUUAAAUAUAUUUAUGUUUUUAAAAGUUGAAGAGUUGAAAGGGCAAGCAAAUGCCAUCAGCUUCCUGUUUUUGAGAAAGGGUGCUUAACUUGGAAUUAGGCAGGAUCUGUAUGACAGGUUGGAGUAGAAUCAUUUCCCAUUUUUCCUGACGCAUUUUUAAGUGGUGUGGUAACAAAUCCCCAUUCCUGGUGUCAGAGGACAUUUGUUAAUAUGCAUGUUAAAAUUUUUAUUUUUGUACAGUUGAACAAGAUUUAGACUUCUUAACUGAUUAUUUAAGAAUAUUUUUUGUUAAAAUCUUCAGUUACUAAUCAAAAUUUUGAUAUUAAAACAUUUUCCAGAAAUUUUUAACAACACAUUCCUCAAGCAAUUCAGAGAACCUGCUGUGUGGUGAUAAUGUAUUUUUUAUUUCAUAAACGACAAUAGUGACAGAUACGUGCUUUGGAGUUAGCAUCCAUCAUGAUUUAAUAUACUGCAUAAAUUUAUACUCUUUCACUAUGCCUUGGUUGGCUUUCCCUGCUGGAUUGUAAGUUCUGGGUGAGCAGAGAUCUUGGUCUGCUGUAUUCACUGAUGUAUCCUGUGAGCUUAGAGUAGUUCCCAGAGUGCCCUGGGACCUUUCAUUGAAUGGACGAAUGAGGAGGAGUCCAUCAGUCCACAGUGUCAAGUUGCUAUUCACAUGGGCUGCUUUUACUUUUUCCCUGAAUUAGGUGGCCUGGCAUAGUAAUAGUAAUAGUGCCACUGGUGACAGUGGCACCCGGCAAAUUCAUGGCAGCUACCCCUGAACAGCUUGUGAUGUGGAGGAGGUAGCCACCAAGUGUUCCUGUGUACGAGCAGAUUCCUAGAACUAGGAGGGGAUGGAGUGGGGCAGGCAUGCUCAGUUCUCAUCUCAGACUCCUUGAUCAGUUGAGGUGCUCUGCUAGGAGUGAAGGAGGGUGCGGAAGGAAGCCAAUGCCAUCUUCUCUGGAGUUCUUGCCUGGGGGCAACACAAAGACUGGGAAAGGAGGAUGCUCGUUUCCUGCCUGUUGAUUCCCACAGUACCUAUAGAAAAUGGCCAAGCCACCCAGAAGCCUACCAUCAGAAAUACACGGUAGUCUCUUCAGGUUUUUCUGUGCCAGUGUGGAGAUACAUAUAUAGUUUAUUAACCCAGAAUAAGUUUACCUCACAUGUAGUUUUGUAACCUGACUUCUGUUUUAAUAGGUUAUUAGGCCUCUUUUGACAGUGAUCCAUAAUAUCAUGUUUAUUGAUACAUAUUAAUAUUCUUUUUUAUUUCAUGUCAUCAUUUUUAUAUUCAGCAGUAUUUUGGGGGGGCCUGUUGUAUACCAGGCUGUGGUUGUAGAUGCUGUGAGGGUACUAGACAGACAGUUCUGUUCUCUUGGGGCUUAUAGUUUGGAGAGAACGAAAAACAGUAACACAAGUAAGUGAGUAAAUUAGAGCUUUAGAGAGCGCUAGAUACUGAGAUGUGAGCACUGUGAAUCCGUUAGGGAAGGCCUGAAAUCUGAAUGGUGAAAGGAGGCCAGUUGCCUGAGAAGAGGAUAUAGGGAAGAAAACAUUCUAGGCAGAGGGCACAGCCUGUGCAAAGCCUCCGAUGCAGGAAUGUACUUGGUGUGAGGACCCUAGAAGAAACACGGUUGGAGCAGAGUGGGGCAAGCAGGGUGGGGUGUACCUGGGGAGCAGGCUCUGGGAUUUAGUCUUAAGGGCAAUUGGGAAGUCAUUGGAUCAUGAGCUAGCAGGAUGCGAGUGGUGUAAUGUGGAAUUGUUUUCUCUGACUGCUCCUUGACUGUCAGGGGAGGUAGAGAGGGAUCAACUAGGAGACUGUAGCACUCAUUGUGAUCAUGGUAAGAGAUGGUGGUGGCAGUGGAGAGGGAGCAGAGUGGAUAUAUUUUGUGGAGCUGUCAAGACCCCUGGGCUUGGGUGUAAUGGAAAGGAUAUUUUGAGAAAUCCUUGGGACCUCAGCUCCUGCAUUGGGUCUGGUGUUCAUUAUUGAAGAGAGGAUGGGGUGGAGUGUCAGGAGAGUUCAUCUGAAUGUAUUAUGAGGUGUCUGUUUGACAACAGAGAGGUGAUGUCAAAUAGGCACCUGUCUAGAAGCCUGGGAGAAGGUCCUGCUUAGAGAUAAAGAUUGAAGGGUCAUCUGUGUGUAGAGGGCUUUUAAAGCUGAGGUCAUUCUGGAUGCAGAAGGUAGGUAGAGAAUGGGUUGCUAAGCCCACCUAGAGCAGGAGGAGCAGUGGUGAACCAUGCAGGUAUGAGAUGGAAGCUGUGAGAAAGGCCUGGCAUUCAGGUAUGUCCCAGCCGUGCAUCACAUGGAGGAGAUGAACUGCCCUGUUACAUUUGCAUCUUUUGACAUGGUAUCAGAAGUUUUCUGAGUGGUCAGUUGUAACAAGGGAGAAAUCAACUUUCUUUUCUUUCUCAGGUUUUUUCCUCCUUCUUUUCCUUUAGCAGACUUCACAUUCCAACACAUAAAAUGCUGGUGAAGUUCUGGGGUUAGAAACAGAUGAAUGAGACAGGAGCAUGCAGUCUCCACCACAUGUCUCUCAGUUCAAUAUUAGUGUUUUUUGGAAAGGAAAAUCUGGCAGUUAAAAAAGCUUUUAAUAGUAGUCGAACCAUUUUUUUCAAACAGUGUUAUGGGGAACCAAAAAUGUAUAAAACAGAAGUGGAGAUGCUCUGGUUGAAGCCAGUUAGUAGGGCCAAGCUGCCUGCCUGGGUUUCUCACUUUCUCUUGAUGGCAGAUUCCCUGGUGAGUGCUUGGAACCUUGAGUAGUAGAAAGCAAGGCUUGCAAAAUUGUAGCUGAGGAGACCAUACCCAGGAAGGCAGAAGACCCAAGUUAGUGCAGAGCCUUCCUUCCCUGGAGCACGCAAGAGAUCUCCCCAUCGACGACCGGUGUAUUUAUAAAAUAAGUUGUUGUUGACCACAACUCAUCACUCACAUGAUAUGUCUUACAAUUUUUGAGGGACACCUCGAAUUUCUCCGGUUGGGGAGAACGAGGACCAGACCACGAACGAGAGAAACACAACAACCAAGAGUUGGUACCGAUGGACAAUCUUAGUUAGUGAGUCUGGUUGGAUCAGCUUCAGUAAACCUCAGGAACCCCACCUCGGAUCUACACAAAGAAAGAAAGAAAUAAAACCACCAUGACCCCUAACUUAAGUCCCGGAACCCGUACGUUCCGUUCACGAGAGGGUGACUUGGGGUCGGGGUCCCCACCCUGAAGACUUUUGAGGGGUCCUCUAAGACUUCAUGUCGGUCCAACUCUUGGUAGUGAAAUUAGAAGACAACUGAUGAAAAUCUUAAGAAGUAACAUUAAUUUGCUUAACACUAAUUUUUAUUCGUUUUCCUUUAGACCUCCCCUCAUAGUCAUUAUGUGUUCACCGGCAUUGUAGACUUAGUCACCUGUGAAGACUCAAAAAAUUCGUCACACACUGUAAGUUUCGAACCAUAAGUAUUUCCGUUUCCAAUGGGUAAAGACAAAAAGAGAUCGGUGGAAAUAAGCAAAAAGGAAAGACUUAUAAAAUCCAAUUAUGUUACUUCACACAUUGAGUGCCUCCAAAAGGGGAGAAAAGAAGGGUAUGAAUAAUCGGUGACAAAAGUCAAGUAUGAAAUGUCAAGAAUCUACAGACAGGUGAAGGACAGUCAGGAUUUUGUACCACCGUCACUCGAAAUGACCAUUCACCUGUAGGUCAUACCUUUCUGUAAAUUCAAAAUAUUCUAUUCGUCAAAGACUCUUAGAGUCAACAAUCUUUUGAAUACAACAACUGAAACAGUCCCUUACUAGGUCUUUUUACUGAACUCUCCAAUUGGGUUUGGACUACAUCCCGUAAGAGUCUCUUCCUUAACUAAAUUAAUGCCCUCAUAAUUUUUUCCUUGAGGGUAUUUUAUUUGUAUGUGAGUAAUUUUAACCAUCCUCAUUGUACAUCUCUAAACUUGUACUUCUCUCUGACAUUGACUUAACCCCACAAUAACAGGAAAUUCAGCAUGAUUUUUCAAAUAUUUCACAAGUAUGUCAUGAUGGUUAAUCUCACUUUGCUUUCUAACUUUCCAAAAUAGUUGUUUUCCACAUAGCCCACUCAAUAAUUUGUAAUUUUCUCAUUGUUGGAUUGUUUCAUAUUAGUUUUUUUGGUGCCACUAAAUUAUCUAACUUUGAUUUUCUGUAAACGGAUAGCAGUCUUAAUGGUUGAGAGAUCUGUAUCAUUUCAUGUUUUCUUGAGGUUUUAUCAGUAAUUCAAUUGACUCUUUAGUUGACUUUUUAAAUUUUUGAAAUGUAGGUUAGAUAUGUUACACAUAUGUGAAUAAAUUGUGUGUCAUAUAUGUAUAUAUGCAUCCUGUAUAUAUGUGGGUAUCUGUGAGUGCUGUGAAUGUAUGGAUCUUCUUAGGUAUAGGUGGUAAGCACACUGGUGGAAGGCAACUCUUACACUAGUACACACAACGUGGUGUACAAAGUUUGAGUGUGUAUGUUGCAUCUGAUGGCCUCCCCCUGUUGAAUGCCCCUAAGUUAUGCUGUGCUUACAAAAUUUUAUUUGCACUUUUUAAGGAUGUUUUGGAGGAUUCAGUGACUUAACAGGUGUAACACAAAUAGACUCCUUAUGAAACAUGAGGUCGCUUGCCCAGGGCUGAUAUGUAUAGUAAAUAAUAAGACACGAAGAAUACUAACUAUAAUGGAAAAAGUUGAUACACUGGAUUACAUGAAAAGCUCUUCUGUUUGCCAGAGACAGCAGUAAGUGAACGAAAAGUCAACUCAUACAAUGAGACUGGCCAACAUAGGCCUAUUCAGAAUAUUUUAAGAAUUUCUAUGUCAAUAUUAAGAUAGACAGACAACCCAAUUGAAAAGUGAACAAGAGACUUGAGCAGGCACUUCACAGAUGGUCAAUAAACACAGGGAAAGAUGCUCAGCUUUUUUUGUCAACAAGGAAAUGUAAAGUAAAACCACAGAAAGAUGGCCAUUGUACAUCAGAUGGCUAAAGUAAAAAAGACAACAGCAGAUGUUGGCAAGGAGCAGAGCAGUGGUCAUCCACAUUUGUUUAACCACACUGGGAAACUAGAAUUAUCCAUCAAAGUAGAAGAUAGCAUGCCACACAUCUUAGCAAUUCUACUUGUUACAUAUGUUACCCACAGAAAUGUGUGUGUAUGUGUACAUGCACAAGAAUGCUCUCUGGAGCAUUAUUCAAAAUUCUCUAAAACAGGAGCAGCCCAAGUGCUUAUCAACAACAGAAUGGAAGAUGAAUUGUGAUAUGUUCAUAAAAUGUAAAACUAUAAAACCAUGAAAGUGAAUGAACUAAUGCUGUAUUCAAGAAAUGACUAACAUCCACAGACAUAAUGUUGAAAGAAACCAGAUGCUUAAAAUUAAAUAUUGUUAUAUUCUGUGUACAAGUUUAAAGCAAGUUUGAAAACAGAAUGAAUUUAUGGUGUUGGAAUCAUAAGUAGCUACCUUUGGAGAGUGGGGAGGAUGUGGUAGUUGGGCUUCCUCAGUAUUGGUAAUGUUCUUUUUCUUGGUCAUGGGCAUACACACAGAUACAUGUCUGUAAUAAAAAAAAAAAAAAAGGAAUAGUUUUACAAAAUGUGUGGUAUCCAGUUCUGUUUUUCUAGAGUUGAUAAAGUUGAUGCUAAGCUGUUAUUCAGGUGUCCGUCAGUCAUUACUCUUUGAGGGAAGCAGAGUUCACUGGGAGUGUUGUAGCAUAAAGGACCUAUUUAUUACAGGAACAAGAAGUUAUGCAACUGUGGGAGAAGCUGGAAGUAACAGUCCAGAAGAAGAGAAGUGUAGAGUCAGAGAAAAGUCACUAAACUACCCACUUCCGAAGCACGAGCACGCAUGGCCAAGUUAGAGCUCGCAAGAAGGUUGCUGAGGCCAGGCAGGAACACUGCUGGAGUGGGACCACACGGGGAGUCAGGUGAAGAAGCCUGUGAAGAGCAGCCGCUGAUUUCAUGGUGUGUUGCCCAGCUCUGGUGGGAGCUGGAGGUUGGGGGGCAGGCCCAGUGACUAAGGGAAGAACCAUGGAAGGGCAUGCACCGGGCUGAGGCUGGUAGCGCUGUAGCUCCACUUCUUUGGGAAGCAGUGGCUGGGUCAGUUCCAUCUCUUCUUUCUGUUGCCGCUUCCAGCUCUGCUGGCCCUGGAAAGUAGCUGAAUCCCACUGUUUCCUUUUCAAUCUUUUGCAGUUCCAGGGAAGGGCAGCCGGGAAAUCCAGCCCAACCAAAUCAUGUGGGUUAGAAGGUGCCAUAGUGAUGGUUGCACAGUUCUGUGACUGUAUGAAAAAUACUGCUGAAGUGUGUGGACUUUAUGUGAAUUAUAUCUCAGUAAAACUGUUACUUGAAAACUACCCCAGGUUGAACUUUAAAGAAAAGCAAAGAAACAAUUGGGACAAAAGUCAGGAUGGUAAUGGCCUGGGAAGGAGGGUGUGGAGAGGAGGGACUGUGAGCUGUCUUCUAAGGUUAGGAAAUUCCCUUGAAGAGGGUUGGGGUUCCAUAAUUGUUGCUUCAUUAUCAUGUAGUCCUCUGUAAGUGGAGUAUUGCAGAAAACACAAGAAGACAUUAAUUUGUAGUUCAGUGAUGGAAGGCAGUGAAAUCAGUGCAGUUUAUAAAGUUAGCGGGGCUCGGUAAGAUGUGGCCCUCAUUUUCUAACUUUGUAAAGGUUAGAAGAUGUUAAUGUGGCUGUAAGUGUUCUUCUUGAGGUACGGUUUUAGGGCAGUCGUUGCUUCUCAUCAGCUUGGGUCUGUGUUACCCUAUUCAGCUAUUCUUUGGAAAACUGGGGGCAGGAGCUGUGAUCCACUUGUUAAUCAGGUCUCCAGGUCUCCUGACAGUCCUAGUAAAUUUUGAAAAUAGGUCAGUGGGAUACUUCUGUCACUUUCCACUGUAUGUAUUUGAUUUUGAAAUUCAAACUAAGAUUUCUUUGUACUUAAAAGUGGGUUUUACAGAUUAUUCAGACUUUCAUAUCAGAUCUGUUUUAGUUAUCUGAGAAAUCAGAACAGUCUCAUCAACUGAAACUUAUUGGAAAAUGUCCUUAUCUAUUCUGCAUUUACUGGAGCCACUUUUCAUUUGAAUGUUUGUUAUGGCUCUUUUUAUUCUCUUUGUAAUGAGGAAGCAAUUGCCCAAAUAAAGAUAUGCAGCUUUCCUGCCUGAGGCUGUAGUUGUACCAUAGUUUCAAUGGAUGUGAAGGUUUUUAGGAAGUUCAAAACCGAGACUGUCUUUGUAUCAUUUGUAUGCAGAAAUUAGAUUUUUUUUUUUUUGCUGUAGUUAGGGAGACUUUUAGCUGCUUCUCUUGGUGUAGAACAUACAUACAAUGUUUUUUGAAUGCAAUGAGUUUUUUGGGAUAGAUUAUUUCUAUGUGGAUUAAAUUUAUGUCAGUCAAGCCUCCUUAAUAUUAGUUAUGACACCACUGAACUAUUGUAAAUCUUUAGAGAAUCAGUUGUUAGAUAAUGAGAUUCUUAGGGGUAUGAUUUGAGUUAAGUGUCACUUUUCCUACUUUUUCCAUUAAGAAAUAAUAACUUUUGGUGAAUUUUCUAAACCAGUUUGUUGCUAAGCAUUGGAUCUGCUAUUCUUUUUCAUUCAGUGGUUGUUUUGAGUGCCCACUUAUUCAUGAUACUUGCUAAAGCAGUAAGGCAGACCAUAUUCAGGGGCUCUGUCCAUGGGAGUACAGCAGUGGGAUUUUGCAGCAGAGGCAAACAACUGGGCAUAACUUCAGAGACAGGACAAAUGGGGAUUUGUAUCCAAGGAGCUGGACGGGAGUCAGUGGAUAGAAAAUUACUAAGAAGAAAGAUAAGAGUAAGGGGGAUUCUGGCUAAAAUCAUUUAAUGGGAUUCUUGCCAAAAGCAGGCCGAGAUGAUCAGACAUAACCUCAGAGAUGAUAAGAGGUUGAAGAAUCUGAACAGUUAUCAGGUAUUGAGGGUGGGGCUCUGGCUAAACCAUGCUGACAGGGUACUUGCUGACAGCCUGAUUAGAGCGGAUACCAAAGGUUAAAGUGCAGGUAAGAGGCGGGGUACAGGGAGCUUACCUAGAUUUUUUUCAGGAGACACUCAAAUAUUUCCUCUGGCCUUGCGAUAAGCUAGCCGUUCAGAGGUAUGUAGAAGGUGUCCAGGAUCUUAUAGGUUAAAUGGACAUAAAGUUUGAUUGCAUUGUGGUGUUUUGGGAGUAUGAUAACUUACAGAGCAUGUGUGAGCAGGAUGAACUUGGGCACAGAGGCAGCACUGACAAAGUCUGCUUGAGCAUACAAAUGUAGGUAAUAAAAAAAGGGCACUAGAGCUGUGUUUGGAAUGUGAUUAGGAGUUUGCUAGGCAGAUAGAAUCAGCAGGAAAACUCUAGGCUGAUGGGAGUACAUGUACAAAGGAAUAGAAGGAAGAAAUUUGACUUAUUUGGGUAAUUGGAGAUGGCUGGCUGAGGGUUUGAGGCGAGGGGUGAAUGAGUUGAGGUUAGAAAGAUGGUAGUGAGAUCACAGAAGCCCUGUCUGUAGUGUUGGGUUUACAUUUUGCCUCAUAGGUAACAGGGAUUGUUUGAAAGAUUUUAAUCAGAAGAGUAAUUGAUCAGACUUUCAUUUUACACAGUUACUCUGGGGUCAGUGUAUAGAAUGGCUUGGAGAGAGAAGCUGGCAGUUUGGUGAGGAAUCCAAGUCAGAGUUAAUCAAUUAAGACCUGUUUUUAGGCAGUGGCAGUAGAGGAGGAUCUGACUUGAAAGCUAAAAUUAGUAGGAUUUUAAUGUGACCUCUUAAGAUGUGGUGGCUAUUGCCCUUUUCCUAAAUUGAGAAAGUACAGAUUAGCUAGAGAAAAGAUGGAUUUGAAUCACUUAUGUACUUAGUUAAUAGAAAUAUGACUAAAAGGAGCAGUUAGAAUUUGGGACUGAUGUACCUUUUUAAUAGAUGAAGGGGAGGCAGAGAAAGGGCAUUUUUGGGAAAAUAGAUAACUUUCUAGAAAGGUAAAGGGCCCUUAGGAGAAUAAUUCUGUGACAUUGUUUGGAUGUGGUCUGUUUAGGUGUCUUCUAAGAAGAUUAGAGUUGUUCCUGGGGAGGGGAUUAAUGGCAAUUGAGUUCUUUCCAUUUCUUUUGGGAGAUUCUCCUUUUAGGCUGAUAGGGAUUUUAGGAAUGCAAAUGCCUUUAGCUUGAAAUAAUUUUUAUACCACAGUAGUUGCUUCUUGAUCCUUUCUUGGUGAAGGAGAGGAGAAAUUACUGUGAUUCUGACUUGAGUGAUAGUGGUGCUAUUGAUAGUGAAGUACGCAAAGAAGAGCAUGUUUCAGAAGUGUAAAAAUUUUAUUUGUAUAAUCGAACUUGGAGCACCUGUGGAACAUACAGGUAGAGAUACUAGGAAGUAAUUAGAUAUAGAUCUGGGAGCUCAAGAGAGAGCUCAAAGAAGCCGAGGGUAUGGAUGAAGUAUACCUAGGAGAGUAGGAAGAGUGGGAAAAGAAAAAGGUUCUAGAGAUGAACCAGAGGGGGUUGGAAAAUGAGGGAGAUGGGGAAAAAUAAAAAAGAAAUUGAGCUUAUAAAGGAGACUGUAGGGAGAAAUAGCUGAGGACAAAGAGAACUGGGAGAGUUAUAGAAACCAAGGAGGGCGGGGGGGACAGGGUAGCAGGGAGAAUAAGCAGUAGGGAUCUACAAGGUCAGGUGCAGAGUAGAAUUAUAUAUGUUCAGAAAAUAUUUUUUGAUUCAGUGUAUAAUAAUGGUACAGUUUUGAGGAGGAAAUGGAGGAUUGUUUAUUUAAAAGAAUUUGGAACAGUUGGCUUACCAUUUUCCUUAUGACAAAAUACAUCUAAAAAUUAAACGUAAAAAAUUGGAAGUGAUAAAAAACUAGAAGAAAAUAUGGGCCAGUAUGUAGGUGUCAGACUAGAAUUCUGUACCCAGCAAAAAUAUUCUUUACCAGUGAGAACAAAAUUAUUACUUGUUUUGAUCAACAAAAUUUAUUAACUGAUAGAAUAACAAAGAAUCAGAGGGGUUAGAAAAUCUUAGUAACAUAAUUAGUAAACGUGACCUAAUUGAGAUGUCAUUUAGUAGUAGACUAGACAAAAUGGAAGAGAGAGUAUUUUGAAAAAAAGAAAUAUUCAAAACAAAAUAUGGGAUAUAACAAAACAUGAAAUAAAUACUUUGUGCCUAAUACAAUAGACUAUUCAUUCUUCUCAUAUGCACAGAGAACAUUUACCAAAAUUGCUGAUCCAUAAAGCAAGUUUUAACAAAUUUCAAGACUAAAAUUAGACUGUCAAACUUAGUAUAACGAUAGGUUUGAUAUUUGGAAAAUUGAUCAGUAUAAAACUUGCAGAAAAUAACGUGAUGAUGUCAAUAGAUGCAAUAUUGCCACUGGUAAAAUUCAACACUCAUUAAACAUGAAAUAGCAUAUUAUUAUUAAAAGGUAACUUCCUUAAUCUGGUGAAGGUUAGACUCAGAAAAAAGGUUAGAUCUCUGGCAUGCAUCAUGUUUAAUGGUGAAAAUGUUGAAUGUUUUCCUUUAGAGGCUGGGGAAAAAAUAAGUUAUUUUUAAUAUCACCAUUCCUGUUUAUUAAAGGACAUUCUACCUAAUUAAAUUAUAAGACAAGAAAAAUGGAGUAUGGAAGUCAAAAUAGAAUAAAUCUGAUUUUAUAGAUGACACAAUAGUGUAUGCACAAAGACUAAAAAUAUAUUCUUACAACUUAUUUUAAAUACUCACCAGACUGCAAAACUCAAAGUAACUUCAGACCCAUUUUUAUAUGCCAGUGACAAAUAGGAAAUGUAAUAAAAUAUAUCAGUUGUAAUAACAUAAAAAUCCAUAUUUUUCAGAAAAAGUUUAUGUCUAAAGCAAUAAACAUUAUUGAGAAAUGUUAAAGAACUACAGAAGGGGAUAUACCAUAUUCAUGGAUUAGAAGACCCUAUUGUAAAAUGUUGAUAUGCCUAAAAUUCAUCUAUGUACUCAGUAUAUCAAUCAAAAUGCCAGCAGAUUGUGUGUGUGUGUGUGUGUGGGGGGUGUGUAUGUGUGUGUGUGUGGAAAUUAACAAAUGGAUACUAAAAUGUACACGAAAAUGUAAGCAUCCAGGAAUGGCUGAAAAAAUUUUUGAAGGACAACAAAGUGAGCAGAUUUAUGUUUCAGGGUAGCAAGACUUAUUAUACAGCUAUAGUAAUACCAUACUCUUGUAUGGUUCUAGUAAAAGACUAGACAGACACACCAAUUGAACACAGUAGUCCAAAAAGAGACCUACAUUUGUAGGGCACUUGAUGUGUAUUACUUAAGAGGCCCUGCAGUGUAGUCCACAAAGGAUAGUCUCUGCAGUAAACGGUUUGUGGGGGCUGGGGACACAGCUCAGUGGUAGAACAGUUGCCUAGUAUGUGCAAAGCCCUGGGUUUGAUCCUCAUCACCAUCCAUCAAUCAAUAAAUAAAAUUAAAUAGAAAAAGAAAAAACGUAUUUGGUUAAUUACAUACAUAUGGGACAAACAAAAAUGUCACAAUGAUACUUUUUUUUUGUGAUGCUGGGGACUGAACCUAGGGCCUUCCUCAUACUAGGCAAGCAUACUACCAUUGCAUUGAGCCACAUCCCCAGCCUAAAUAAAACAAAAAUAUGAGACACCUACCUAUGCCUGACAGAUUUUUUUCCCCAAAUUCAUAUCAGUCUGGAUCCAGUUAGGAGGAAGAAACCAGUAAAUUGAAAGAAAAGUUUAAUAUGAAGAUACUAGUUAGAACAGGGAAUUUAAGUUAUAAGGGAUUGGCUAAUAAAAGGCAACAAGAACUCUAUAGAAAGCAAGGAUAGCAGAUACAUGGAGCAGCUGCUGCCUCUAGUGCUGAGAUAGAGGGCCCCCUUCCCUCAGGACUGAGACAAGACUAUACCCAGAAGACAUGGUUCUGGUUUAUUGUGUGGCAGACAAGUCCCUGGAGUGUCACACUGGUGGUGCUUGAUGGGAAUCUACUUCCGGAUUUGGCAGAAGCCACUCUGCUGGGCUCCAGAGAAAAAUGCUUCAUGGGGAGGUAUCCACUGUGGUACCUUGCUAAAACCACCCAGGUAGGAUGUUGGGGAGCUGCUGGGCAUUUCUGGCUGCAGUGUGCUACGGUCUCCAGAGGCCAGAACCACUGUGCAUACUACAGAAGCUGGAUGGUGGAGUAGUCACUCGGGGUGCAAGAGCUGGUUGCUGUUGAUCACUUACUGCAGAAAAACCUGGAAGGCUGUACAUAUCAAGAUGCCAAGAUGGUGCACACGUUUGUUUCUUUUUCUUAUUGGCAAAUAGGGUUAUGAUGAUUUCUCCUCCCUUCCAUAUUAAAUUCAGCAUUUAUUCAAUAAAAGUCAUUGCGUGUUUCUUCUGAGCUAUACUGGAUGCAUGGGAAUGGACAAAAUAGACAUUGCACUUACCUUUGCAGAGUUUGUGGUGUGGUCGAAUAGCUAUUCAGUUGAGCUUCUUCUUUGUGCUAGGUAUUGUUCUGGUCCUUGGGGAUGUAUAUCUUGGUGAUCAAGACACUCUUGCCUUCAAAAGGAAAUAGCUAUCGAGCAGAUAAUCAUAUGAAUAGCUGCAUCUUAGGGAAUCAUCUAAAGGGACAGAAAGGGAAAAUUCUGAAUUGUCAGUUCAGAGGUGAGAGAUCAGGAUGGGGCUGGAAGACCUUGCAGUGGGAAAGAGCUUGGCUCAUUUGAAGAAGUGAGACUCAGGGAAAUUUGAAAGUAGGGUGAUGAAGACAGUGUCAGGAGAAAAGGCCCCAGUAGGGGCCAACUUGCUCUCAGCCUUAGGCCACCUUGGGAACCAGGGUAGGCCAAUGAAGGUACCCCCUGUAGAGUUCUACAGUCAGAGCCCAAUGGAUUCUUUUUAGGUGUUUUUAUUACCAUCUUAUGGUGUGCUGAGUGGUCAGUUGAUUGGAGGCAAGACUGGCGAUCUUGAGACCUUGCACACAUUUGCAGGAAUCCAAGGAUGCUCAAUGAUGGAGCUUGACAUACAUGGAUUACUUGGGGAUGGGGUUUGGAAAUAGAAUCAGACUUGGGGAUGGAUUGAAUGUGGGCUAGGAGGGAGAUGGAACUGUUGAGAAUGACUUCCAGGUUUCUGGAAUGUGAAGCCAUUUUUCUCUGUACUUUUGAAACGAGUAUAACUUACUUGUUGAGUUUAAAAAGUUAAAGAAACUUGAAUUUGGAGAUGAGGAAGGCUUUGGUAACUAAACAAAAAUACAGUUACAGAGGGAGAUAGAAAGUGAAGAAAAGGUGAUGUUAUAGAUCUGCAAGUUCUUAGAGAAGCUGUAAGGUAGAAGGCUAAUGUAAGGCUGUGGGACAGAGGGUGUCAGGUUUUGUUUUAUAGAUGGGGCAGAUGUGAGCAACUUCUUUUGGGAUGGAGAAACCAUAGAGAGAAGAGAAUUAUCUGCGUUUCUUAACAGAUAAUUGAAUGUCUGUAUGCGAGGCAAUAUUCUAAGUCCUUGCAGUAUAAACCACAACACAUAGCCCCCUUUUCUGGGAGCCUAACUUGCAAAGUGGGAAGAUGACAAUAAAUAAAUAAUCUGCCAAAUGCAUUAUAAACAGAAAAAGAAAUAAAGCCUGUUAAUGGGGAGGUACAGGAGUGCUGAGGUGGGUGGACAGUGGGAUGUGAUUAUAUGCGGUGGGUGGCAUUUAUGGACUUGAUGCCACUAGAAUGUAAGAUACAACAGGGAAGGGAUUUUUGUUUUACUCACUGUUAUCUCCAGAAUUUAGAAUGGUGCCUGACACAUAGUGCUCAAUAAAUAAUUGUUGUGUAAAUCAAUUGAUUAUAUACUAUCAAGGAUGGGAUGAAAUGAGUUGUGGAAUACAGUUGUGAAUGAAGAUGUAGGGAUAUAAGUACCCAUAUUCCCAAUUCAAAUUAUAAUUAUCUUUGCUAUAAUUAUCUUUGGAUUCAGCUAUUCAGUUGUAUUUUGGAUCCUUUGGUUAUCUUUGUUUCAUGGCUUUAGUUUGGCUUGCUGUAUGUUUCUUAGGUAUAUUAAUAUAAUUUACAAACCUUACUUAUCCUUAGGCACAUUACUGAAAUGAGAAGUGACUGUUCUCAGUAAUUUAAAAAUAAAAUUUGCACUAUUAUAUUGGUUUAUAUAUUGAAGAUGUUUAAUAACCUUUCUUGCUUUCAGCAUUAUGCUGCUUUAAAGCGGUGUGUGUAUGUAUUGUGGUUGUUUUAUGCCAACUAAAGAAACCAGUUUAGCUGGGUUUAAACUGCAGUGGUUGUAUGUUAAACCAAGUCACACUCUCCUUGCUGUUCCUGUUUUGAUCAGUCAGUUUGGCUGAUCCCAUAGCGAGUCUUUUCAUCGAGUUUGCAAAGUUCAGCCUUAUGACAGUGUUCUAGUUUGUUUGAAAUCCUAUAGCAGGCCAGUCCUCUCUGCUUUAGGCAUGCAUGAAGAAGACUGUCUUCUGUGUGCCAAGUCUCAGCUCUGUGUUGGGGAUUCCAGUGCCAUACAUGACUUUGUUCUAGCUCAGGAAGCGCUGGCUUCUGGCAGCAGGGCUUGCCUUUGUCAAAAAGAAUUGACACAGGUGUUUUAAGACCAGUCAAAGCUGGAAGUUCCCUUAUGUUUCAAAGAUUUCACAUAUUAAUGAGGAAAAGGGAGCAUACAAAACAACUAUAUCCUUUUUGCCAUAGGUUGUCCUUUCUUAGAGAAAUCACUUUAUCUCUCUUGUAAAAGUGUAUAAAAUAUACUUAAUUAUAAAAGUAAUAAAUGGUCAUAGAAAAGAUUCUAACAACAUAGGAGUGUGGAGGUUAAAAAAUGGAAAAUUUUCUCUAAAAUCGUACAUUGUAGAAGAUAACAUUGUCAUCAAUUUGAUUUAUAUUUGUAUUAGUCAGUCUUUUUGUUACCAUACAGAAUACCCAAGUCUAGGAACUUUAUAAAGUGAAGAGGUGUAUUUAGCUCACAGUUUAGAAGGCUGAAAGUCUCAAGAUUGAAUGGCUCCAUUGGUUCAGCCUCUGGUGAGGGACUAAUGGCUGAUGGCUGGAGUGCAUAUGAGUGGGAGAGAUCACAUUGCCUAAUAGGAAGGCAAGGUGUGUGGACUGGACCCAGGCCCUUAGAAUAGCCCCCUUGUGACAACCAACCAGGGUCUCAUGAGAAGUACCUUAACCCCUUCUGAGGGCAUGCCCCAGUUGAUCUAAGAAGCUUCUACUGGGCCCUACCCUGUUGAAGGUUCCACAUCCCCUUCCAGUACCUCCAUCCCUGGGACUAAAGCCUCUUACACGUAUAGACUUUUGGGGCCACACUCAAACAUAUCCUUAUCCGUAUGGUAAUAUCCUUAUUUGGAUUUUAAAGAUGCAUAUGUACAUCAUGUAUGUGUGAGUAAUAUAUAUCUGCAUGUAAGUAUGUGUGAAUGCAAGUACACACACAUAGAAGAGGAAUCAUAUACACGACUUAACUGUUUUCUUCUCCUAACAAUUUAUUAUGGGCAUUUUACAUUUCAGUGAGUGUGUUUGUGUGUGUGUGUGUCUGUGUGUACGCUUGUGUGUGUGCAUGAUUGCAUAACACAGUGUUCCAUAAAGAAUUAAGUCAUCCCAUAUUUUGUUUUUAUAAGUAGUGAUGCACUUAACCUUCUGUUAACUGUUUUCGUGAGGGGGGGUGUGGGGGGCUAAUUGGGAUUGGACCUAGGGGCACUGUACCACUGAUCUACACCUCCAGCCUUUUUAAAUUUUAUUUUCAGGUAGCGUUUUACUAAGUUACUGAGUCUGUCCUUGAACUUUCCAUCCUCCUGCCUCAGUCUCCUCUGAGUAGCUGGGAUUAGAGGUGUGCACCACCUUGCCCAGCAUGUUCACAUAUUUUUGCACACUUCACUGUUAUUUUCUCAGAAGACAGAAGGGCUUGUCAAAGUGUAAACAUUUGCCAUGUAACCUUGUGAAAAGAUACCAACUUGUAUUCUCAGUUACCAAAUACGAGCGUCCCAUUUCCCCAGACCCUCACCAACACCAGGUGUUACUACCACUCUUAAAUCUUUCUCAGUCUAACAGGUGAAAACUUAUGUCUCUUUUUGAUUUGCAUUUCUUUGUAUAUUUCUGUGAUCUAGCAUGUUCUGACCAUUUGUAUUACUUUGUAUCUUUAUUCUUUUUAGUUAUAGACAGUAGAAUAUAUUUUGACAUGGAGUAUAACUUCCCAUUCUUGUGGUUGUACAUGAUGUAGAGUUACAGUGGUCAGAUAUUCAUAUUUGUGUUAAUUUUUUUGAUAUCUUUUUUGAACUGUCUUUAGUCCUUUGUUCUUUUUUUUCUUGGUAGAUUCUUUUCCCUUUUUCUGAUUUCCGAAUGUUUUUUUAAAAAAAAUAUAUGUAUAAUUUUUCUCCUGUUAGUCAUCUGUAUUUGUCUUAAUUUAUUAUUAUUUUUUAACUUGAUAUAUCCUCAUGCCAGUUCGGUGACUCAUGCACUCAACUUUGAAUCUUCUAGCAUUGGUAGCAAACUUAGGAAAGUCUUCCCCAUACCACUAACUAGAUGUUCUGUUUGCUUAUUUGUUUAGAAUUUUAUCCUCAAGAUGUUUAACAGCUAAAUAAUUUUUCAGAUAUAUGGGCAGGGUGAAGUAGAGCUCUGGGUUUUCUCCAGAACACACACUUAUUGUUGAAUUGUUGAUGUUUUAUUGCUGACUUAAAAUGCCAUCUUUAGGGCUGGGGUUGUAUGGCUUAGUGGUAGAGUAGUUGCUUAGCAUGUGUGAAAAUCUGGGUUCGAUUCUCUGCUCUGCAUAUAAAUAAAUGAAUAAAAUUUUAAAAAUUAUAGCAUCUAAAAAUAUUUUUUAAAAAAUUCCACCUUUAUCAUGCUCAGUUUUUACAGUUACAUGGUUCUUGAUAGCAGGACUCUGCUCAGCAAUCCAUUUGUUCUGUGCCUCUAUCAGUAGUACAUAUUUUUCCUUUCCUUACAUAUUAAUUUACUUAUUCCCACAUAUUGUAAAGAGAACAUUACUGCUUCUCUUCCCAUCUUAAAUAUCUUCUCAGAAAACAGGAGUGUGACUUUACAGUACACAUUCAUUUGUGUGAAUUGUCUCUGUACUAAUUUCAAUAAGUUGAGGUCAUACAAUCUUUCAGAAGUUGUGGGUUGAAGGGCUGGGGUUGUGGCUGAGCCUAGAGCGCUCACCUUGCAGGUGCGAGGCCCUGGGUUCAGUCCUCAACACCACAUUAAAUAAAUAACUAAAUAAAAUAAAGGUAUUAAAAAAUUAAAAAAAGUUGUGGGUUGAUAAAAAUGUAAAUAGAGCAACUGUCUUUGCUGUGGAAGAUGGAAUUUAAAUAAUCCUUACCUGUAUUUCUCUAGCCAUCACUUCCUAGCCUUUCUCAUAUCUUAGAAUACAUCAAGAAUAAAUAUAUUUUCAGGGCCACUGGGUAGAUGGAGGAGUGCUCUGGGUGUGGUCUGGAUGGCCUGUCCCCUCACAGGGGACCAGGGAUCAACACCUGCAACCCAUUCUUUAUGUGCUGCAGGUGAUUAGGAAGUAUUCAGGAAGUGCUGCUCUAGGCUGAUGUACUCCCACUUCAAAAUUUUUGUAGGUCUUGACAGUUUGAUAAUGAUUUAAUAUUUGGAGAGCCAGAUUUCUCUAAAAAUGUUUUUAUUGGGGGUUGGGGUUAUAGCUCAGUGGUAGAGCACUUGCCUCGCACAUGUGAGGCACUAGGUUCAAUAUUCAGCACCACAUAAAAACAAACAAACAAAGAUAUUGUGUCCAUUUAAACAUUUAAUAAAUGUUUUUAUUGUGGUGAGGUAUAUGCAAUAGAAAAUUGACGCUCUCAGUGAUUUUUUACUUGUACAGUUUAACAGUGUUUUUAAACACAUUUACAUUAUUUUGUGACCAUCACCACUGUUCAGCUGAGAAUGUUAUCUUCCCAAGCUACAGCUUUGUCCUUAUCAAACGCUAAUUCCCCACACCACUCUCUUAGCAAUUACUGUCUACUGUCCAUGUACAAAUCUGACUACUCCAGGGUCCUCAGAACGUGGAGUCACACAGCAUUCAUUCAUUCAUUUGACUGGCCUCUUUUAUCAUGGUGUCUUUAAGGUUCAUCCAUGUUGUAGCAUGUGACAGAACUUCCUUUCUUUUAAAGGCUGAAUAAUAUUCCAUUAUGUAUAGACCAUUAUGUUUAUGCAUUCAUCCAAUAAUGAACACUUGAGUUGCUUCUACCUUUGGAUAUUUUUUUUUUUUAAAUAUUUAUUUAUUUAUUUUUGUUUUCGGCGGACACAACAUCUUUGUUUGUAUGUGGUGCUGAGGAUCGAACCCGGGCCGCACACAUGCCAGGCGAGCGCACUACCUCUUGAGCCACAUCCCCAGCCCACCUUUGGAUAUUUUGAAUAACGCUACUGUGAACAUGGUUGGGCAAAUAUGAGAGCCAGACUUUGUGCAGAGCCAGACUUUCCUCAGGGCUUGAUCCUAGACUUUUCUUUCUGUGACCAUUAAAUGUGGAUAUUUCUCAGGAAUUAGACCAAGGCCCUUCUCCUCUUCCCCCUUGGUUUUCUAAAAGUGAAGCAAAGAGAUUUUGUCAGUCUCAUCUUGUACAUGAACAAUAUGACCUUAUUUUUUUUUUUAAAGAGGACAAAGCAACAAGACCAAUGAAUUACACUAUUUUUAAAGGGUUUAACCCCCCCCCCAGCUUUAUGAGAUAUAAUUGGCAAAUAAAAAUUAUGUACAUUCAAGGUUCACAGUGUAAUGGUUUGAUUUAUAUAUAUAUAUGUGUGUGUGUAUUGCAUAAUGAUGAACCAUUAACACAUGCUUCACCACUCAUGUGGCAUGUGUGGGAGGAGGCAAGACCCUUGAAACCUGCUGCUUAGCACAUUUCAAGUAAGUAGAGCAGCAUUAUUAACCAUAGUCACCAUGCUGUGUGUUGGGGCCCAGAACUUACUCAUCUUACAACUGAAAGUACAUCCCCUUUGACCAGCAUUUCCCAUUUCCUCCAGCCCCAUCCCCUGUCGACUCCCGUUCUGCUCUCUGUCUUAGGAGAGUACUUCAGCCUCCCAAGUGCUCAAGUCAUAUCCUGAGAAUCACUUUUAAAACAAACCUUCUAAUUUGGGGUACUUUUAGAGUCACUGCAAAGUUGCAAAAAUUUUGUGGACCCUAGUUGCUCUGUUAAAAUUGCUAUGGCUUGUUUGUCACCACCAGUGAACCAAUGUGGAUAUAUUAUUAUAAACUGAACUCCAGAGGAAAUUCAAAUUUCCUUUGUUUUUCCCUAAUGUCCUUUUCUUUUCCAGGAUCCCACCCAGGAUGCCAUAUUAUAUCUAGUUUUCAUAUGUUUUUAAGUUCCAUUAUACUGUCAGUUUCUCAGACUUUCCUUUUUAUUAUUGACCUUGACAGGAGAGGUAUUUUAUACGAUGUUCUUCAAUUUGGGUUUGUCUGCUCUUUCUGUCAUCAUUAGACUCGGAUUAUGGGUUUUUGGAAGGAAGACCACAUCACAUCAAGGGUUCCUGUUCUCAGUGUGACUUACUACUGGUGAUGUAAACUUUGGUCACUUGGCUGAGGUACUAUUUAUCAGGUUUCUUCACUGUAAAGUUACCAUUUUUCUCCCCAAAAGAGGUCAUUUUAGAAACUUUCCCUGUUUUAAUCUGUACUGAAUCUAAACCACUUUACACUGUAUCUUUUUCCCAAGUAAGUUUCCAUUCUGUUCACAUCACUCUGUUUAAGCGCCACUCCUGUCUAGGCAGCAGUGGCCUGUGCCCUGGCUGCUUCGAGAGUGCCCCUGGCCAUGUGUCUCCUCUACUCUGGCCUCCUCCCACUUUGGUCUGUACCCAGAAUGGUCUUUCAGAAAUGCUCUUUUCUCAAACUUGUGAAUAACUCCUAUUGUGCUUCAGAUGCCAUUCCUGCUCCUCAACAGUCAGGGCCUGUGUGACGUAGUCUGUCUCCUCUCUAGCUUCUGGCAAAGUACCUCUCACUUUGUUUACUGUCCCAGACGCUGGUUUCCCACCCUGAAUUACUUCAGCACUCUCUGCAACACAGUGUGGUCCUUCCUGCUUAGAUUGAUGGGCACCCACCACCUGUGUUCCUCUAGUCUCAGCCUGACUGCUACUUACUCUUUCUCCAUAAGCCAGCCCUAGGGUGGAGUUGCCGGCCUGCCUUGCUGUGUGUUUCUGUACUUCUUCCCUGUACCUGUCGUGUUUUGAAUCAACUUCCAUGCUAAGGUAGACCAGUGGAGACUUUCUCUGUUCUUUGCUGUGUAUCCAUCCCUGUUACCCGAUAACUGAGCUUGCUGUGGAGUAGGUGCUUAAUAAAUAUUUUUAAAUGGGUUAAUUUUGUCUUUUGAAUGGAAUACAAAUACUCUUUGAUAUUAGCAUGCAAGUAUGCAGACAAGUUCUCAAAUAGAUGUCUCUUAGUCAAUUGAUUUAAUACCCUGGGUGUUCUUUUAAAUGCCUUGUGCAGGGUGCAUCGAUAGGUACAGUAAGGAAUGGAGUGGUGUGUGUUCAGCCUGUGCUACUCUUAAGUAACCGUCUGUUUAUUCGGUCAUUCUCUACUUCAGCACUCACGAAUCAGACUCUAUAGUACCCUUUGCAGAUUGUGGGACCUGAGUGUGUGAGCCUUUGGGGCCUGGGGGAGAACCUGCAGGCCAACCCCUCACUGUUCCAUUAGUGGAAUAAGACCAAUCUGAACAGAUCCAGUUUGAAUUCAGCUCUGUCAGUUUUAAGACUUACAGUACAGUCUUGAGCUUGUCUGCAAAAAAAAAAAAGAGACAGGAAUAUCUUCCUUGUAACCUGUGGAAGGACUCAGAUAAGAAAAGGAAUGUUUGAUGAUCAGCAUCACAGAGCUAAUGUCCUUGCUUUUAGCUAAGCACCCUGCCAAACAGUCCAUAUUAAUACUUUUUGUUAAAUCUCACAGCAGCCCUAUAGAUAGGGAUGUUAUUAUUUUCAUGUUCUAAAUGAAGAAAAAGACUUAUUUGGAAAACCCAAUAAUUUGUCCAAGAUCAUGAAAGGAAUAAAAGGUAGAGCUAUUGCUGUGUAUGAUUUUUAAAGCCCAGAAUGGACUCCUUAUAUCCUCCAGCCAUGCCAUCUUUAAGUGUAGCUUUGCUAGUUGGGGUUUUGAAGACUUUUCAGUCUUCUAUUGGCAUUUGAAGUCUUUAAGUCUUAGGAGGGAGAACCUUGUUACAGCUUGAAUUUUAAUUCACAUUGUAGCAACUUUGAUAUCUGUAACUGGUUGCCUGACAUUGUAUGUUUGUGGGUCCUGGAGGACUGGGUUGGACCUACCUCGGCAGUAUUUCUAAAAUGAGGGUUGUGACUCCUGGUCAGAUUUACCUGGGGGGAUUUACAGAAAUGUAAUUUCCUUGGGUGCUUCUUUGAUGUCCUAAAUUGUAAUCUCCUCCUGGGAGGAUAUGGGAAACUACAAGUGACACUAUCUAGAUAGGCGAUUCUUAUUUAGUCUGAAGCAUGAGAAUCAGUGACUAGAAGAAAUGAGAAAUGUCAGAGGAUUCUUUCAUUGUCUCAAGUUACAGGAAGACAAGAAGCAGCUCAGGUGCAGUAGCUCCAUGGGUUUCCCUGUGCAUCUCUUGGCAUUCUCUGCAUGGGCAGCCACAGCAUAGUGAUGCGGUUCUAACUGUGCAGGGGGAAGGCACAUCCCUGGCAUGAGCUCCUGUCUGCUGUUCUUAUUCUUACACAACUUUAUUGAGGAGCAGUUGGCAUACAAUAAGUUACACAUUCUUUUUUUAAAAUGAAGUUUUUAUUUUUGAUUGACAGAGUAACUGCAGUGUGAUAGGGUAUAGUGUGAUGUUUCAGUUCACAUGUAUGAUGUGUAAUGAUCAGGUCGGGGUUUUUGACAUAUCCAUUAACUCAUUCACUCAUUCAUUCAUUCAUUCAUUCAUUCAUUCAUUCAUUGUGUUUUGUGUUGGGAAUAUCCCAAAUCCUCUUCAUUAGCUAUUUGGAAACGUACAGUUGUCAUAACCGUAGUUAUCCUAUGGUGUUAUAGAACAUUAUAGAAUACUAGAAGUUAUUCCUUUUAUCCACCUGCCUUCUGCACCUGUUAACCAGCCCUCCUCUUCAUAUCCUUCGAAGGCUCUAGUAAUCAGUAUUCUACAUCUGCUUUUUUAUGAUGUCAGCUUUUUAGCUUCUAUAAAAGUGAGAACAUGUUUUAUUUGUCUUUCUAUUAAACUGCACAUUCCUGCGUCUGCCUUAUAAGGUAGACACUGCAUGAGGUCCCCACACCAUGAUGGUGAGCACAUGCAUCAGUCAGAAGUGUCAAUCAGAAGAAAUGGAAGCAUUUCUGUCUUGCAGGCCCUUCUUCCCACUCUCUUUAUUCUUUGUGAAAUCUUUGAAACUGCUAUGGGGAAAAAGUUUCCUUGUUGAGGGUAAAAUGGUAGGUAGGAACGUAUUGUGGUUUCAGUUUUUGUUUUCUUUUUGAGGAAUAUAGUGGAAAUAAUAUGAUGAUUACAGGUGUAGGUUACCAUAUCAUUUAUAGAAAGUUUUGAGAAACCGACAAGUAUUCUAGACCAUUUCUGAAAAGUUUGACAGGAAAUGUACUUUUUGGAGGGUUGAGAAAGUGGCGGAGAUGUGACUGUUGGUGGCAGGGGAGAGGAGUGACUGGUGGGUGCCAUGUGGAUGGGGGUUGCACAUGAGAACCAAAGGCUGGUUUUCUUUGGGUUUUCAUUGUAUGGCAUUUAUUCUACAUGGGAAAAACUAACAUAAAUCACAACAUGAUAUGGAAUAGAAAUAUAAUCCUCACUUAACUGGAGAAUAUAUUUAGCUCAAGUGCAUUUUACAUUUUAUUGAAUGGCAUGAUUUAUUUAUGAUAUUUAUAGAUUAAAAAUAAAAUUUGCCCCAUCACUAUAACUGGCUUUGGGUUGGGUGUUUCUUUAGUUGCUGAAUACUCUUGCUGAAGUUAAGGUGUCUUUUUUUUUUGGGGGGGGGGGGUAAGUACCAGGGAUUGAACCCAGGCGCACUUAACUGAGCCAUAUCUCCAGCCCUUUGUAUAUUUUCUUUAGAGACAUGGUCAUGCUAAGUUGCUGAGGCUGGUUUUGAAUUUGAGCUCCUCCUGCCUCAGCCUCCCGAGCUGCUGGGAUUACAGGUGUGCAUUGCUGUGUCCAGUACCGAAGUUAGUUUCUACUGCAGAAAGCAUUAUAUAAUGUCAUUGAGUUAAUAGCUGUUUUUUUUUUUUUUUAAAGAAUUGGUAAAAUGUGUGGGAUUCAACUGUCACCUAGUUUCUUUUACUCUUUGAAUUUCUUUACUAUAUUUUUAUUUAUUUCCAGUUUUUCCAUGUAUUUAUUUUGAAGGAAUAUGCUUGAGGUAAAAAUGGGAGCAUUUCUGUCAUAAUUUAACCUUCUUAGGAAUAUCAUUUUUGCUCUGUGUCUGAGAGUUGAAACAAUUCUUCGUACUUUAUAGAUGACAUUCCCUCCUCACCUCUACGGCUAAAUCAGUCAGUCAGUCAAUCAAAACCAAAAUGUAAUGGAGAGUACACAUCUCAGUUCCAGGUGGCGCUCAUUGUGGGUGAGAAUUCCCUGGAGAAAGACCCUUUGCUGGAGCACUAGUGACUUGAUGUUCCAUCAGAAGGGGCUCGGUGUGUUUCUUCUUUUAGGCUGGUAGCUCAUGAGUGUGGUGGCACAGAGUCAUUUCCAGGUUUAGACUAGCAUGUAUACUGUGCUUACACCCAUAGGUUUUGGGGAUUAGGUUGGGGCUUUUGAGUCCUUUCUCUCUUUAAUUCAGUUACUAGUUACAGAAAGAGACUAGCUAUAAUUGUAACAAGUCUACCCAAGGUUGACUAUCCUUCUGUACCUCUCCUUAUGAAAAUAUCCUGCAGGUUGACUGUUUGGGGGUUUGCUUUGGAUUAAUGAUCACCUUUCAGUCUGUUAGUAUUAAUUCAGUUCAUUCAGUCAUUAACUGGCCGUGGCCAUAGGAAAUGGGACGCUGCUGGAUAGGGAAGAUGGGUCAUUCUAGUUCAUGAGCCACUGCUGUCUGGGGCCUGGGAAGGAGGCUGGAAGGAGGUUCCACAGAGAGAAUACCUUGAAUCCAAUUUAGGACCAGGGCUAACCUCUUGGGCUGUGUUGGGGGAAGCUACUUAGGUCCAGUCACCUUUAAGAAUUCAGAGCAGAACUGUCAAUUUAACAGUGUCCAGGGCUAAUAGGCAGGUGUCAACCAUAAUAGCUGCUUACUGCAUUGUUCCUGUGGGAAAAAUAUAUGUGAGUUUCCCAUACCUCCUUUGUAAGUGGACUGGCUCUGAGAAUUGGCUCUUCUUGCUAUUGUGGGGGAGGGCAGGAUGUGGCAGUUAGCUACUGGCUGGGGUUGUGUUGCCCCUGAGAGUUUCCAGCCGCUUUUUGCUUGCUUACUUGUAUUGUAGGGUCCUUGUGAGGACCACGGUGAACUGCUUACUGCCCUUACCUUCCCUUACCCAAUCACAAACUCAUUUGGAAAACAUUCCUAAGAUCCUUCAUUGAUGUUUUGUUUUUAAAUCAGCUAAAACAUUUUUAAUUUUGGCACAAUUUCCUUCAAAGGUAGUUUGUCAGAACUGCUAAAUAUUUAGGUGGAAAGAUGGACUCAGUUCCAUGGAAUCAUUUGUGGGAAUUCUGUUGGUUGUAAUAUUCAGGUGCCGAGGAACAAUUCCUGACUACCUGGAGGUGGGGGCAUCCUCUGGCAGUUGGUGUCUGGCACUUCUGGCAGGGAUUAACUGGUAGAAAGUUUAGGGCACCAUUUUUUUUUUUUGGGUGAGUUAGUGAAUUCUAAUCAUAACUUAGAACACUUUUUAAAGUCAUCCAUAAAUACUUCAUUGUCUUUAUUGUCAAGAGAUUAUUUUAAAAAUACAGAUUUUGGAAAUGAAUAUUGCCCAUGGAGCUCUUUGUUCUGACUAGGCUUGUUGCUUUUCCUUACUAAUAGAUAUUAGGAAAACAAAACUUGACUGGCUUCUUGCCUUUUGUUAGAAACAUGCUGAAAUGGUCUAAAUAAUGAUGCUACUAAAACAAUGUAUGCAUUGUUUUGAUGGGUAUUGAUUCCUUCUGUAGUGUUCAGAAUUGCUUGCAUGCCUCCCAGCAACAAAUGCAUAUGUGACUGUGUGAGAGGAGCAUUCCAGAAAAAUGGAAUGCUGCUUUACUUUUCAGUAGCUGUGCAACUUAAAGGGAAAAAGUCAUGUUUUUAGAAAUGCGGCCUUAAGGCACUAACCCACUUAUAUCCAGUGCAUGAAGCUCUGCAAGUUAUUUUAACACAACCUGAUCAGAGGGAACAAAAAUCUGGCAUUUAUAGUUUGUUUGUUUAUUGAUUGCCAUAAGUCAUUAGAAAGAAUAUCCUGUUCCUUUUAAUAAAAUCCUCUUGGACAGUUAAGUGUUAUAUUGUGGGGCAGAGCUGACCUGGGAGAAUGUAGGUAGAAAUGGCAAAUGGGGAUUUAUGAAAGAAUUGUAACCAAGUUAAGGUCCUUUUGCUAGUUGUGCUUCACCUGCUCUCCUGUGUGGCAGGAUGUAAUGUGUGUUGCUUCUUAGAACUUGCUGUCCAGUACACAGAAGUUUGGAUUCUGAAAUCAGGGAAUGUAGCCUCUCAAGCUUAGUUUUCAGAGAUGAAAUGCUGAAGAUGAUCUUAGUAGUAGGCUCAACUGUUCGUGUUAUUUACUAGUGAAAUGAAUAUUGAAAUUGUUUACUGUAACAGUUAAUUGUUACACUGUUAACAGUUAACUUACUGUUGCUGAAAGUUAAGCAAAUGUGUUGUGACUUAGGUGUUAGCUACAUUUUCAAAACAAAAUUUAGCUCUUUUCUUUUUAAAAACAUAAAUUAGUUUGUUAAUGGGGAAAGAGUAACAUUUGUUGAAAAAUUAAGUCACUUGCUUUUUUCCCUUUGUAGAUCUUCGUGUCAAGCCUGUAUUAACUCCUUGUAAUUCCAGUAGGACUAGCAAGUUAUUUUGCUUAAAAUGUCUUUUUUCCCCCCUGUGCAGUGAAAGUCGAAUGUGAGAACAGAUCUUAAUAGAUAUAGUUACACAGUUUAUUUUAUCAUGUAUCACUUUAUUGCUAUCUUCUAGAACAUUGUUAUACUAAAUGUUCCAAUAAUGGAAAUUUUAUGCAGCUACUUCAAAUGAAAGAAAUUUGCAAAAACUCAAUUUUGGAACUCAUUCCUUGAGGAGAGGGAAAAAACUCACCAUGCUGUGACCAAAUUAGAUUUCUGAUAUGUUGGCAACUUAUCAAACACUGUCAUUUCCAGAAAACAGGGUGUGGGUUCCCACUGAAAUAUCACUAUUUCCCAAUCAAUGUCAAUUUGAGAUAUUUUGAGUUUUAAUAUGAUUGAAUGGCCAAAUGUUUACAAAGUUGUUGUUGGUAACAGGUAAUUAAAAAUUGGUUUUGUACCUAAAUGAAAAUGGCUUUAUGUGGAAUCAGGAAUGACCAUGUUCAAUUACCAGGGAGUCGUCUUUUCAAGAGCUUGAUUUAAAAUUCUCAGAGAUAUUAGUUGUACUUACUGGAGCUCCUUUGUUUUGCAGAGAUCAUGAUGCAGCCGUCCUUUUGGAUUUCUUUUUAAUAAUGUGUGACCCUUCACCUUUGAUCCCCUGACCUGCAUUACCUUGGUAACCAUUUCAUUUUUUAAUUUAAUUUCAUUUUUAAUUUUGGUGUACAAGCUGUAACAUUUCAUCUCUCAAAGUGUAGCACGCUGAUUUCCUCAGAUAGAGAUACCCCUUUGAGCGAUAAAUUUGCAAAAUGCUGUCUUCAUUUUUUGUAUUAAAAUUCAUUUCAGUUUUAUAAAAUAAAAUGUAAUCUGUGUUUUCAUCCUUUUAAAAUUUAAGUUUAGUGAGUGCAUUCCCCCAUACAGGAUAGUUCCUCUUCUACCAGUGUUUUGCGGAAGCUGAAUUAAGUGACAUUCAUAUGUAAUGCACACCCCCCUUACCCCCACUCCACUGCCACUCCCUGUCAUUCCCCUGCUGUCACCACACAGCCCUGCCAUUGCAGGAUGAUGACUUGUCUUCCCUUCAGAAUAGUAGCAACUUGAAUUUUAGUCUUAGCAGCCAGGUUCUGCACCCUCAGGUUAUAUUUUGUAUUCUCAAAUAUUGUGGGGAGGGAAAGCUUAGAGUUUUAUUUUUAAUUUCAUUUAAGGGCUGGAAGAAUGUAAGCUAUUUUCAUUACCAGUGUUUGCCUUUCCCACCUCCUUUAAUGUUUUAUUUCUUUGAGACCUAAAUUAAGGAAAAGUCACAGUUUUAAUUUGACCAAAAAAUGUGGUUUUGUCUAUGCUGAAAUUUUAUCAGUGAGCUCUGCUGGUCCCUAUAUCAGAUUGAUUUUUGCCAUUUGUUCUUAUUUCAUGUUUGCUUUUCAAAUAAUGUAUUUUUAUUGUACUCUUCUUCUUUUCAGAAAAUUCUUAAAAGCAAAACAAACCAAAACCAAAAGUCAAACUUGAGUUAAUUCUUUGAACUGGCAAAAUACUCCAAGAAAUUGUAUUCUUAAAAAAAAAAAAAAAGCUGCGGACUCUCUUGCAUGGCCCAGUGAAGCACAGAUGAUUUUUUAAGUGUCUCAUUAUUUUAUUCUCUAACAUUUAAUGCUGAUGUUUUAAUUGCACACAGCUGAAGCUGCUAAAUGAGUACUGAAAUAGAUUUAAGUCCUCUCUGAGCUUUGUUGAUACCUAUAAAAGUUUAUAUCAUUCAUUAGAACCACAAAUUAAAAUUAGUUGUGGUGAGCUGUUCAUUGGAGAUUGGAACUCUCACGAACAUUUUAGCUCACAGACUUUGUUUUUGCCUGUUACACCUAUUUACCUGGAAAGCUGCUUUCGCCCUGUUGGGUAUCCUUUCUUUUCACAGAAUUGGAAAAAUAUCAGAGUUGAGGAAUACAAAUAGACAACUCAUCCUAUGAUUGUAAAGCCCCCAUGAUUAUAAGUGUUCCAGUGGUUGAGAGCAGCUUCCUUGCUGAACCUUGAAUUUUAAGGUGAUUUUUUUAUUAUAAUGUGUUCCACUGUUGUGCAGAGAAAUUUUCCAGAUCCAGAAACUUUUUUUUUUUGGCCUUAGGUACGUUGUUUAUUUGUUCUUUUGUUUAUUUGUUCUUCUAGCACCAAAGGGAUGGUGCCUGAAUCACAGUUCAUAGACUCACAGGGCUUUAGGGGACAGUGACUGCUUGUCAGCUCCACUCCUCUUCCUGAGGGAUGAGCUGGCCCAUGGUUCCCUGGGGAGUCACAAGUUCUCUGAUGACAGAGUCAGCUCUCUCUGUGGGCCCCCAUCUACUUGAGAGAGCCAGAUAACUUUAUUUAUAGCCUGUAGUAGGAGAUGAAGAGACAUUAAUAGGUGCAGAAAUAAUUUCUAUUGUCAUGUUUUAUUUUGUGAUUAAAUCAGUUAAAAAUUUUAAGGUUUUCUGAUUAAUACAUUUUAAGAGAACCUAAUUUUUCUAAGAGAGCUAGUACACAAAUACACUUAUUAUUUUCAAUGAACAUUAGUUAUAUGGUUAGUAUUUAGGACUUCUGGUAAGUUGUGAGGCACAUGAAUACUGUUUUUGUAAUCAUGAUUCACUGAGAAAACCCUUGUCUGAGAGUCAGAAAACUUGCUUUGGACUAGCAUCAAGGUCUUUGGACAUGUUACUGGUGUCUUUUGAGGUAGUUACCCCCAAACUAAAAUAUUCGAAGACAAAGAACUUGACACUUUAAUUUGGGAAUGAAUACUGUGAAAUCAGUUGUCUUGAUUGACCACAUAGGAGCUUGUAAAACAUUUCGUUGAUGCUGCUUCCAUUUUAUGUGUAUGUGAAAUGUAGACUGUGUGUCUCCUACUUGCCUUUUAGGGUUGUUGGGAGGAUAAAUGAAACACACACUGGGAACUCAGAAGAAAGGUGCUUUUGAAACUGAACCUCAUCCUAUGGCUGUGCCAAGAGGCAGUGGUAGUGAACCCCGUGGUGAAGGGCCAGGACCAUGGCUCUGGAGCCAGGCUGCCGUGGUUUGAAUCCCACCUUGGCCUCUUGCAAGCGGUCUGACUGCAGCACAUUACCUAACCUCCCUGUGCCUGAGUUUCCUCCUCUUUAACUUGAGGAUGAUAAUAGUAGCACCUACUCAAAGGAUCCUGGUGAGUUUUAGCUGAGCUGAUGUGUGCGGAAUCCUUAGAGCUGCGCUGGCGUGUAGCGAGCGAGGCCACACCUGCACACCAUGGGCAGGACAUAUACCUUGCACAAAAUGACAUUGCAGCCCCCCCAUCCCCCUGCCCACCAUUAGUCUUCUAACAUUGAUUUAGAAACCAUUGAAUGCUUAGAGAGGGGUACUGCAUAGUUGGUGAUAUUUAAGCACCUCUAGAUAGAAGUUCAGUGGGUAAAGUUAAAUUUGGCUUCCUAACCUUUUUGUAAAAAAAUUCAGCUCACUAGGAUCUGCCUGACACUCUGACUGUUCUUUUGUUUUAGCUGUUUUGGGUUAUGGAGGCAUAAGGGGAGAGGUGUGAGGGAGGGAGCUGCCUUUUGCCUAGUUAGCUUUCGUACCUCCACUCUGCUAAGUUGUCUAGCUGGCUUUCAAGGAGUUAGAGGGUUGAACUGUUGAGGGGCUUUUACUUGACCGUAUGAGGCUUUGGACUCCUCUUAAGUAGAUCGAAGGAUGGGACCCACAGUUGUCCCUGCAUGAGAGAGAAUAUAUGUUGCAUUGUUCCCAGUGCUUUCCAUACAUUUUAAUCAUCCAGAUUUAUCCAGGAGGUGAAUGGUGUGUUAACCCAGUUUUGCAUCUGAAAAUGCUGAGGUUUAGGUAGGGUAAAUACACUUUCCUAGGUGCACAUCCCUAGUAGACUGCACAGUUGCAGAACUGGCAUUUAAAUCCAGGUGCUGCUUACCUCCUGAUACUUGCUGCCUUGCAUUCACCUGCAAACCUGGUAGAACCUCUUAACAAGAGACUGUUCUGCUGUUUUCGUUGCAAGGACCUGAACUGCAUAUAUUAGUGUCCCUCAGCCAUUGGACCUUUUAAAUGAACAGCACCUCUAACUUAGUAAGAACUCAUAUGAUGGAGUAGCUGGCUCUAACAAUCUAUUACCACCAUUAUCAGGAAAGUUCCAUUAUAUAUGUGGCACUUGAUCCUGGUUGCACAUCUGGAAUCACUCGUGUAGUGUUUUGUUUAAAAUUUGAAGCACUAGUCCCAUCCGUGACUGAUUGUGGUCUAGCAGAGAACCAUUGAUCAACAGGUUCAGAUAUAUAGAAAGGUUUUUUUUUUUUUUUUGCCUAGUUACAUACAAACAAAAAUUGAUUUUCUGUACACGCACAGAUUUGUGCUUCUAGAAUAUGGACCAGUGCAAUUAGUUCUAUAGUUGGCUACAUUGUAGAUUAAAAUGGAUCUCUAGUUUAAUCAUUUAACCAACACUGAUCAGUACCCUUCCUGAAGGCAAGGUCCCAGCAUCUAUUCCCUAAAUGCAGUCGUGUGUGAGAACCCCGAACGUCCUGAGAGGUGGGCUCUCACUUAGUUACAGGGUGAACCAAGUAGAGGGCCCUGUUUGCUUUCUUCUCCCUUUCACCUGUCUUCUUUCUCUUUUAUGCAUCCAUUUUUCCUUUCUCUUCUCCUUCCCUUCUCCAUAGUUCUGUCCUCCCUCUUUUUCUCUUUCUUACAUUUAUCUGAUUUUGACAGUGUGACAAUCAUCAAGCUGUAAAGUACUUGAACUACUUCAUGUGCACAGCACAUAGUAGGUGUUCAAAUGAACUUUUUCUUAUUUUUCUUAGCAUCUGAUUUUCAAAGGAGUAGGCACUACCCCUCAUUAAGCCUGAACUUUGUUAGAUUUUGUUUGUGAUUGUCUAUCCUAACUUGGUUUAUCUUGUGAAUUUAGAUAGUUUAGUCUCACUGGUUCUGAUAAGUUGAGGAACUCCAGGGUUUAGUCACUGAGUAGUACAGAAGCUUAGGGAAUAGAACAGACUUAGAUUGUUUUAGAGGCUGCUUUUAUCAGGCUUCUAAUGUAUUUGCUUCUAGUAUAUUUUUAAGCCAGAGGAUCUGUGUUUGCCUCGUCAGACCCCCUUUGUUUGGUGAUGAGGAAGCUGCCAUGGAGAGGGAAAGGCCGUUGGACUUGCUGCUGCUACCUCCUCUGGUAGCAUUGUGUGUUGGGACAGAGAGCAGAGCAAACAAUAUGACAGCCUAGAGGUCUGCAGCUGACUGUUUGCCUCCAGAAAUGUUGGAGAAGUAGUCACAGUAAUCCUCCUUCUGCUUCCCCCUUUCACAGGAGAGGUGACCUAAGGGUGGGGCGAUUCUGAGGGGAGUGGCAGGCCUCCCCAGCGUGGAAGUCGGGAGGCUGUGUGUGCGGCCCUGCACCCCAGCAGGUUGGCCCAGGCGCCAGCUGGCUGCCUUAGGAGUUCCUUCUGAUGGCCUUUAGCCCUUCGAGGCUUUUCGGAGGCUGAGAAACGCGCGGUAAAGGUAUGGAAAGGUGUUUUUGUCAUUCUUCAGUGAAAAUCUGCCCUAACCAGAAAGGGAGUUUCUGCCUAGGCAGGAAACCAUUGAAAAAGCUCGUUUGUGUUAGUUGUGGUUAUUGUUUCCCCUGGAAACUGUGGCCGUGGUUACUGUGGUACUGUGUGACAAUCUGAGUGUUUAGACUAGAUUUCCUGUUUUCCACACACAUUUAUAAGUGGGUUCAGAAAUGUGCCUGUGAUGAACAUCACACAUACCUACUACAAAACUUGGAUGGUCAGCUUGGUGUGGUUUUGUGCACCUCUAAGCCCAGUGGCUCAGAAGGCUGAGGCAGGAAGAUUGCAAGUUUAAAGUCAGCCUCAGCAACUUAGGGAGACCCUGAGCACCUAAGUGAGUCCCUUUCUUAAAAUGUAAAGAGGGCUAGGGAUGUGGUGCUGUGUUUAAAUGCCCUGGGUUCAGUCCCCUGUACCCAAAACAAAAACAAACAAACAAAACACAACGGGUUUGACCUCCAGUCCUUUUUUCUCUUUGGUGCUGAUCCUUUUUCUUAUUUCUGCAUUUUUCCAAAGGAGAAACUAUAUGAUCUAACUUUUUGUGAUGGUGAGAGGAGGAUUGGUCUGGAGCGUUGAAGCUCUUGGUCAAGGUGUGGCUCUGGGUUUCCUUUUACCAGCUCUAGUUCACCUUACAUGCCUGGCACAAGUUCUUGUACAUAAUAGACACUCAGCAAACAUUAACUCUCUUUUCAUUUCUCAUUAGCACAGGUAAUUAAGAAUAGGAGCUGAUAGACUCCACAUAUCUGUGCAGAGAUAUAUCUGUAAUUAAAGUUUUAAUUAAAGAGACACCAGACCAGGCAGAUGGUUCUUAUCCUCAUAUCCUGUAAACCAAACAGCCGUGGCUUUUCGAUCUUGCAAACAAGCAAAGCUGAGAAGCUGCUUUCAUGGUGGGGCAUGGUAGUUUUAUUAACUAGCCAUGAUCUAUUUUGGUACUACUCUGUGUGAUGCCUGAUCCAGGGAUAAUCAUUGUAGUUUGAUAUGGAAAGACAAUACAUCAAAGUUAUGUCCCAACUGAAGCUUUCAAGCGUCAUCAAGGGCAUUGCCACAGCCCAGCUGGUGCAUCACAAGGCAUGUGGUUUUGUGCUAGAUCACAAAAGCUGACAAAGUAUUAUUUAGGAUCAUCCGCUAAAUACAGUAUUAAAUUAAAGCACCAUAAUCCUGAUUUUUCAGGUUUUGCCACUGUAUAGCAAUGCAGAAUUGAGUUGUGCCUGUUUGCCUCAUGCUGGUUCUCUUCUAUGUCACAGUGACCUUAUUGGCUAAUCAGGCGCAGAAUUUAAGAAAUAAAACAACUGCAGGGGCUAACUAACAGAAAAGGACUUAUCUCAGAUCUUAUCACUUUUUAGGCCCUUCCAGUGAACCCCAGCCAUUUAUUCUAUUGCAUCCCUGUUGGCAGGAGCCAGAGCAGUGCAGGGAAGUGGGCAGCUCACCUUGACCUCUUGGAUUUUACCCUCUUCUUUACCCGAAGUUUCAUAACCUUUCCUUGUAAUUUUUAAUGCAGCUAGCUGCAUGGUUUUCAGGCCUUCCAUGCAAGAGGCAGUUCUAUAACAGAAUUGCAUGCUGGUUGAUGUAGGUGUGUUUCUACCACCAGCAUCCCAGUUUAUUUUGUUAGGUAGAACCAGUACUGAAGAUGUUGAUUUCUUAUUGCACAAUGGAACAGUUUAGUGUAGAGAUUAGGAGCAUGGUUUCUGCUUUGCUGAACAGUGCUGCUUUCAUAGGAGGUGCAGUUUUUGUGUGAUAGAGUCCACAGUACACUGGGAAGUACACUGGAACUUUCACAUCACAGACCAGUCAUCAAGUGAUAGAACCUAGAAGUGUUUUAACUUACCUUAAUACCAUCUAUAAAUCAAGGUCCAUCUGUCCUAGCUGAAAUGUGUGUGCAUAGGCACAAGGAGAUGGGCCAGAACCAUGAGAUGUGCAUGUGCUUUGAGUGGAGCCUGUGUCUCAUGGGUAGCUGGAAAUGUGUCUACCACCUUCUGUCUCAGGGAAGGAUGUUUUUUGGUUUUAAAAGAGGUCAGUUCAUUGUAAGCUGCUUUGAUUAAAUAGUCUUUUGUUAUUGUAUCCAGAAAAUACCAUAGGAUCUAUGCAGAAAUGUAUUACUGAGUAUUAAGUUGGUAUUUUACAUAUGGAAUUUGAACCUGACCAAUUACAAAGUUUGUUUCUUUUCUAAUGUGGUUCAAGACCUGAACAUGUAACUUUGGAGUAGACAACACAAUUUUAGAUUGUAGGAGGUUUCCUAUGAAGUUAAACUCUUGCUGCAUAGAGAGCAGUAGUUAUGCCGCUUUGCUGUGUAGGAAUCAGACUUCCACAAAGAGGAGAAGCACCAACAAACCCACCUUACUUUUCUUUCUGUAGUGGGUUUAGAAAAAAUGUGCACCCCCACCCCAUGCUGGGGAUUGAACCCAGGCCUUUACCAUGUUGGGCAAAUACUGUGCUACAGAGCUACAUCCAUAGCCCUGGAAAAUCUGUAUUUUACCACAUAAUCGUCACCACUGCAUUAAUGCAGAUUCACUAAUACUCCAUGCAUAUCCUAAUCUUGAACCAGUGACAGUUUAGUAAUAAACGCAUUUUAAGUAAUACUGGCACAGUAUUUUUUUUUCUCUUUUAAAGCUUUAAAUAAUGGUCACGCUCAACUUUUUGCCAAAAAAGAAAAAGAAAUAAAAGGCAUAAAAUCUGCAAUGAUUAUGUGAUGAAAUGCAUAUAUUUUUGCCCUUUCUAGUUGUGUGAUGAUGGGAGUAGAGUGUUCUGCCCACUCCAGAGUGACUUACCACCAAAUAUUUCUUUCUUUCUUUUUUUUUUUUUAAUGGCGGUACUGGGGAUUGAACUCAGGGCCUCACACAGCUAGGCAAGUGCUCUGCCACUGAGAUAUGUCCCAAGCCCUUUUUCAUUUUUUUAAAAAUUUUUAAUUUUAAAUGUUGUUUUAUUAAUACAUUCGAGUUAUUCAUAAUAGUGGGGUUCAUUUUGACGUAUUCACACAUGCAUAUAACAUAAUUUGCUCCAUUUCAAUCCCUAGUAUUUUCCCCUAACCCUCGUCUCCUCCUUCCCCUUGAUUUCCUUCCUCUACUCUGUUGGUCUUUCUUCCAUUAAUUUAUUGUUUUUUUUUAAUUGGUGCAUUAUAGAUAUACAUAAAAGUAGAGUGGAAUUUUUGUGAUGUAUUUAUAAUGCACAUAACAUAUUUGAUCUUUUUUUUUUUUGCUGUUCCUCUCCUUUCCCAUCCCUACUUUUGCCCCUUUAUUCCCCUUUCUUUACUGUUCUGUUUUUAUAUCGCCCACUUCCCCACCCCCCUCUUGUUUUUAAAUUUCUCAUUUCUCCCUAAUUUCUGCAUAUGAGAAAACAUUGAAUCUUGAUUUUUUGAGUCUGUCUUAUUUCACGUAGCAUAAUGUUCUCCAGUUCCAUCCAUUUGUAAGUAAAUGACAUAAUUUCGUUCUUCUUUAUGGCUGAGUAACAUUCCAUUGCGCAUAUACACUACAUUUAAAAUUGUUGAUGGACCUUUAUUUUAUCUAUUUAUUUAUAUAUGGUGCUCAGAAUUGAACCCAGUCCCUCACACAUGCUAGGCAAGUGGUCUACCACUGAGCCACAACCCCAGACCCCUAUACGUCACAUUUUCUUGAUCCAUUUAUCUGUUGUUAGGCACCUGGACUGGGUUCAUUACUUGCUUAAUUUGGAUCAUGGUGCUAAAGACAACACCCAGCCCUUUAAAAAAUUUUUUUUUUAAAAACAGUUUCAAUGAGUUGCCUAUGCUGGCCUCUUAACUGGCCAUCAUCCUGUCUCGGAUUACAGGCAUGUCCAGCCACACCCAGCUUAUUUAUUUGUUCUUUAAAUAGUUAUUGAAUUCCUGGUAAAGGGCAGCAGUAAGCAAAAUUAUGCCAUUCCCCUCGAAAAGUUUAUUUUCUGGUUAGGGGAAAGGGCAAUAAACAAAAAAAGAGUAACAGUAAUUGAGAAUUUGUAUGAACCAGUCAUGUUGGUUAACUCUGUGUCCUCCUCAGAGCACUCUGUGCAGGUGAGUGCUGUUCUGCCCCUUUUGCAGCCUAGGGAGACACUACAGAGAUGUGGACUGGCCUCUGCCCCACCCAGUGGGCUCUGUGCUUUCACAUUCCAGGCUGCUUGACUCUCUAUUAAUAAACACUGCCUGAUCUGCUAAUUUCUAAAUAAUAAACACAUAUUAUUGUUAAUGAAUGUGAUGAAGAGCACACUCAUUAUCAAUAAUAUGUGUUUAUUGAUAAUAAUAAUAAUAAUAUCAAUAAAAGCCGCAAGGGAAGCCAUUUGGAGGGCUCCUGGAUGCCUGGGUGUAAGUGUUCGUUAGCAUCAUGACUUAAGUGGAUUCCCUCAUAAUGGGGGGUGAAGGAAGGUCACAUCAUGAGCCACAUAGCUAUCCAUCCAGAGGGAGGGUAUUCCAAGUCAAGGGAACAGAAAAAGCAAAGGCCCCAAGGUUGAUGUAGCUUUGUCAAAGGUGGAAGAGAAGCCAGGAAGCCAGGUGGGAACUGUCCCUGUCUCUAGGAGGGUGGGGAGGGGAGCAGCCAGGAGCAGCAUCCCUGGGGGCCUUGCAGGUCAGGGUAAGGCCUUUGAUUUUACUGAAGAGAGGGGAAAUGGUCCAAGAAUUUUUGAGCAGAAAAAAACAUGAUAAAAAGGAUCCCUCUGAAUGUAGGGCAGAGUCUAGGGCACGGUCCACAGACAACUGCCCGCUGGCCAGAUUGCUGCCCGCUUCGGUGUAGCCAGCAAGCUAAGAGUGCUGUGUACAUUUGUGAAUGGUUGGGAAAAAAUGAAUAAUAAUAUUUGGUGUCCCAGGAAAAGUAUGUGAAACUCAAAUUUUUGUGUCCAUUUUCAUUUUAGUGUUAUUGGAAUUGAGCCGCCCUUGUUACUUUGUGUAUGUCCAAAGCUGCCUUUGAGCAGCCUUAGCUGAACUGAGUCCUUUUAACAGACCACAUGGCCUGCCUCUGGCCCUUUUCAGAAAAAGUUACUGUUCCCUGUCUUGGGGGGAUGGAGUGGAAACAGAGGAGACCAGAGUAGACAUGGCAGAAGUGAAUGGUGGUCUGAACAGGCAGUAAGAAGUGAACAGAUGCAGGACCUGUUUCACAGCAAAAGCAGAUGUACUUUGUUCACAUGGGAAGAUUCCGGGUGAUGUGUGAGUGCGGCACUGAGUUACUGGAGAGUGCACUUGCCCUUUUGGGGGUUGGGAAGACUGUGGGAGUGACAGGUUGGGGAGGAGGGUGAGCAAGAGGCCAGAGUUGUAUUUUGGAUAUGUUGGCUUUAUGGUGCCAAGUGGAGGUGUUGGGUGUCAGUCACUUGUGAGUCCAACUCUGAGGAGAGGCUGAGGCUCAAAGUAAGUAUUGGAGUGUUUUCACAUAUUGCAGGAAGGCUUCCAAGCUGUGGGAGGGUGGAAAUCCUGUAGGGAGCACACUUGGAGGGCAAGUCCAAACCUGGAACCCUGGGGUGCCCAGCAUUAAGGGUAAGGAAGCAGACAAUGAGAGGGAGCAGCCAGAGAGCGCACUUGAGCAGAUUGGGGUGUCCUGGAAGCACAGUAUGGUUCUCUGUGUCGCAUGCUGCUCAAGGUCAAGCAAGAUGCCAACUAAAGAUUCACCAUGAAUUUGGCAGUGUGGAAGUCACUCGUGGCUCUGAUAAGAGGUGCCUGAGUGACGUGGUGAGACAGGAACCUGAAACCAGCUGGGUUAAUGAAAAUGGGAGGACAGGCAGUAGAGCUGGUGUGUAGGAGACUGUCUCCUAAAGCCUGAUUGCAGGCCAGGAAGGGGCAAGAGUGGGAUUUAACCUGAGAUUAGGAUUUUGCUAGUUGAGGUCAGUGGAGGAAAGGGUGUGAGGGAACUGAGUAGGAGAGUCCAUAUGACAGUGGAGAGUCCAUAUGACAGUGGAUUGUGUAAUUGAUGCCAGGCAAGGAGCAGGAUGCAGGGAGGAGAUGAGGGACAGCAGGAGGUUGUGGGGGUCAGCAGAUUCAAGGAGUUGUUGGAUUUGGGGUGGUCAAGAGUCGUGUGCUUGAAAUUGUCAUCGUGGAGGGUGCAGUUGUGGUUACAUCUAGAUCUAAGGCAGUAUUGUUCAAAAGCAAUGUCAGGGGAGCCAUGUUUAACUUUCCAUGUUCCAAUAGCCGUAUUUUUAAAAAAGUAAGGAGAAAGAAACACGAUAAAUUUUAAUAUUUCAUUAUAUUUAACCGGUUACAUCUCAAAUAUGUGAACAUGUGAACUGUGUACAAAUUAUUGCAAUGUAUCAAUUUUUUUGUAAGUCUUUGCAAUUGGUGUGUAUUUUAUAUUUCUAGCACACCUUACUUUAGACUGGGCACAUUUCAGGUGCUCAGAGGUCACAAGUGGCUCAUGGCUGCCAUAUUGCAGAGCAUAGGUCUUGGGAAUCACUGUGGAGGAAGUACAGUCCAAGGUUAUUGGAGGGUGGGUUUAAGGAACAGAGAAGCCAAGGUUCAUGAAGGAUUAUGUGGAUCUAAGCCACUUGGGAUUCCUUACAGAGUGGGGCCGCAGGGGUUAGGAGGCUGAGUGCUUUAAUCUGCCACCCAUCAAGUGAGUCUCAGCAUCUGUGGGACUAUGAGGGACUGCUCUUGCCUCAUCUUAAGUCCAGAAAUCAUGGGUAUGGGGCAUGCUUUCAGACUCACAAUAAAAUAUCAGAAACAUGGGCUAUAAUAUUGAGAGGAUCUUUUCAAAAUAGCAGCUUCCAGUCAGGGUUCACUCUCAUUCAGAAGGCAUUUCUUUGAGCCACUAAUGAAGAUGUUACCCAUGUGAAGAACUCAUUCCAGCCCAUUUUUUUUUUCCUCAAGAAAAAAAUAUCCGUUAGAUUUUUGUCUUUUAUUUUGACAUAAAUCUUUAGAUGCUGAUCUUUAUUUUGGCAUAAUCCUCAAAUCCCUCAAAUUCUGUUUGUAAUACUUAGCUCAACAAUCUUAAACACGCUUGAAUCCCUGCAGAAGCCGACAUUUAGGAGUUUCAAGGCAGUCCACAUGAUACGCGGACAGCAGCAUGCAGCCUGGCUACCCUCUCUGCUCCUUUUGAUAGGGUACAUGUGGUAAUAUAUUUUAUAUAUACAUGCAUAUCUGUUUGUGUGUGUGUGUGUGUGUGUGUGUGUGUGUAUAAAUAUUGGCUUUGAUCCACAGUGAGUCUUUAAAGAUCAAUAAAAAUGGAUGAUGUCAGGAAGCUGUUUUUGGCCUUAUAGGCCAGGAAAAAGGAAAAUGUUUUGAAGGGGUAGACAGGAACACUUCCACAGCUCAGUUGCUAUCACUACUUUUCAUAUUUAAAGUUAACACAAGCUGCUCGUCUGAAUCCCAAUGGAAAAGGUGAAUGGAUAUUCCAGUUCUGUACCUUUAUCAAAUUCAGAUGUACCUUAGAUUCCUUUCAGUUUGUUUCCUGUAGUAUUAGGAUUAACAGCAGCAACAACAAAAAUCCUCCCAGCUCAGAUAUUUAGGAAGAAGAACCCAUUUUGAAUCUGUGUUUAUGUGCCCCCUGUUCUCAGAUGCUAUGUGUGUUGAAGGAGCAGUUGUUCAUUUUGUAGGUGCCAGUGUCAGGGAAUGAGGGAUCCAAGUGGUCCCAAGCACCUAGGCUUUGGUAAUCUCAGAGCAGUGUGAGAGUCUGCUGGGUCAGAACUGUCUUCCCUCUGGGUGUGGUGCCUCCUCUCUGCACUGUAGUGUUCCCUGAGAGCAAGCCCAGGAAACGCCACUUAGUAACGAGGAAAGCUUUCUCCUUAUGUGAGUUUUCUAAUUAAAAUGUUUUCCAUCUGAUGGGGAAGUGUGUGAAUAUCAAGAACUGGAAAUUAAGCAAGAAAUUAAAAGAACAUUAAUGGUUUCUUUGCAAUUUGUUUUGAGGUUUUCCUCACUAAGUGGUAUUUUGCUUACAAAGUCACCCUUUCACACAUAAAUCUUUAUGACAAAUGGACUGGAAUAUAUCCCAGCAAAAGAAGAGCUAUGGUGUCAUGUGUAAAUUAUAUCACACAUUGUGAAAGAGAACCCAAAGCAUUCACUUUUUAAAAAAGCAUUGUUAGUGCAGUUACUUAAUUGGUGUAUACAAAAUUAUAGUUUAUUUGAAAGUGAAGGUUGGUUUGUCUAGAGGACUGGAAGAAUAAGUGUUCUGACAUUUGUUCAUUGUUUGAAUUUACACUCCAGACACCAGAAUGCUCAAUAAAUCCAAAGUGUGAUUUACUGACUCUUUAAAAAGUUCACUGCUGAAACUUUAUCCAUCGCAACCAGUGUCCCUUCACCCCGAGGUAUGUUUGAUCUGCAGUAGGCAGGCACCUGCCCUUCCUGGUCCUUGGGCCUCAGGGAGUGCAUCGAAUGCCACACUGGCAGUUUUGUUUGUUUUGUUAUCUGGAUUUGUGUCUACUAGUAAAGUCUUCAUUAAGCUGCAGCUUCUACCUCUGGGUGGAGAAGUAGGUGGAAACAGGGAACUGUCAAACUCUGUAGCCCUUCCCGGCCUACCUCAAAGUGCCCCCACCCACAGCCUCUCACCUGCCUCUUCUCUCUCCUAGACCUCAGGGUACUGCAUGUUCUGUCUGCUGUGCUUUCAGUUUCCUUCUCUGGCCCAGCCCUUCCUCCCUACUUCCGUUUAUUCUGGUGGACAGCCUUUAGGGGCCAGCCCAGAUGCCACUUCUUCAUGCACCCUUUCUUGGGCUCCAUUCUGCAUAGUCCAUCCUUUGGUUCAUUCUUCUCCUUCCCAUAUCCCCUGUGAGGACUGUCGCCAUGAAAAUGUCAUGAUCUCUUUAUUGGUGUCUUUAAUCUACUAAAUCAGGAGCUCUUUGGGAGCAGGUGCUGGGCCUCCCUUAGAUUUCUGUUUCCCUAGAACCCAGCCCAGCACCUGCACAUGGUUGUGAGUGAAUGAAUUCGGGUGGAUGGGUGGGGGAGUGAUGGUGGGGUAAUGUACCUUCAAGUCAAAAAGGUAAACUUGAUUCCUGUUUUGGAGAAAGAGAAGAAUAAAUACUGUUUUUGUUUAUACAGGUCUUAAAAUUUUGGUAGCAGAGAGCAAAUGUGCAGAGAGCAAUGGAAAACAAGUCAGAAGCUGCUGUCUGAUUCCAGAGAAGGUCACAUUUUAUGCAAAAAGAAAAAAAGUAAUUUACAUUUGAUCACCUUGAGAUCUUCAAUUUGUCAUUGUGAUAUCUUAAGUAACUAAUGAUUAAGUGAAAUAAAUCUUGGGAAAAUAGAUCACAAAUGGAAUGAGGACUUUGCAUUGUAAGAAACCCACAACUCUUUUCUUUUCACAACAUGACCUUUUUAAAAAGUACCUUAUUGCAGGCUUGUGAAGGUGGCUGGCCUCUGAGCACUGGGCACAUGCCUGAAAGUGAUAGGCCUUUUUUAUUUACCUUGAUCCGCUGGAAUUAAACAGUCAUGCUUAUAUUCAGUUAGUUUGAGGUUUGGUUGGAAUUCAGUUCCAAAUUGGCGAAAGAAAUGAGCAUCCAGCCCCUCUUCCUCAUAUUGUCCAACUUGCCUUAUGAGACUCAUAUGCACAGUAUUCCCUGUUUAAACUGAAGUCACUCACUUGACUCUGUCCCUGCAGUAGUCCCUAAGGAAGGUAAACGAACAGAUAUCUUGAGACUUCCUUCUGCAUCAGUAGUUUUGAUAGUUUCAAGGCCACUGUGGAAUUCACCUGUAGUCUGUUAGGACCUUACCUUACUUAGGAACAUUAGUCCUUUUACUCACACACCCUCCAGUAUCCCUUUGGAAUGCUGUGUUUUUCUAACCCAUGAAACUGGUCUAGAAAGUACAGUAGCAAGUGCUGAGAAUUGAAGUCCACCUUCCUAGUGCUGUGCUUCACAAAUAGUCUCUAGCUGGGGGCCUCUCAGAGCAUGGUGUUCUGUUAUAUCAAUAUGUACUUAGACAUGCUAAUCUGAAUUAGAGAGCCGAUAUACAUAAUGACUCCCCUGGGAUGCUAUAUUAGAAAAAAAACAAAACAAAAACUGAAGUAGUUUGCUGAAUAUGCAUAGGAAGCUAAAAAAUAAAAUCCUUCUAAAAUGAGCGUUAAUUGAAUCUGGACCUUGAUCAUCUUUGAACCUCUAAUUUUUAAUUUGAUCCUUUAAAAAAGUUUUAUAGGUUCUUGAAGACAAAAUCUACAACUCAAUAAAAGUUAUGCUGUAGUGAUUGCCUAAAGACUGUACAAAGCCCAAUUUUGAGGUAUUGUUGCUCCAUGUAUACACAGCAUGUGUGGGGUAGAUGUAUAUAUAUGUACAUGUUCAUGCAUACACAUACCAACUAUAUGUGCUUAAUCUAUGCUGUAGUUUGCCUUUAUUCAGAUUCCCUCUAGAAAUGGGGCAAAUUUUCUUCAGUUAAAAACAGAAAUAGAAGCGCCGGCCUUGACCCAUUUUAUACCUGUUUAUUUCAGGCUCUCACCACACACUUGUUCAUGGGCACAGCAAGAAGAGGGAUCCACAGAGCUGGAGCCGUGAGGUCUGACACAUUGGGGUGAAGCUGGCAAAAUUCGUAGGGAGAGCUUUACCAUCCUGCCAGCUCCAUAUCUGGCCUCAAGACAGUUCUAUUAGUGAAUUAAUUGUACUCAAAACCUCGAAUUCAUUUGAACCGAAUGUUACUAAAAAUGAAAUAGAUCAAAGUGACCUCCUCUUGCCUCAUCCAGAGUGAUUGUGAAGGAGCCCAUGGCCUCAUUUAUCUCUGGAGAGCAGGUCUCCACCUGUGUGCCUCCUGGUCCUGGGGUUUUUCGUGCCCGUCCCUGAUGCUACUCUGCCCGCAGUCCCUCAGCAGGCUUCCAUUUCUUACUGGCACUUCACUCCCCUGGAAUCUCUUUAUGUUGAUUACUGUUUGUCUCCCACAAGAAUGGAAGCUCCAUGAGAGCAGGGUCUCUGUCUUGUUCCAUGUCCCAGUGCAUAGGACAGUGCCUGGCACAGUAGAGUUUCAAUAAACGCUAUUGAAUGAACUAGUGGGUCACUAGCCUUGUGUCCUUUCUCAAUCUUUCCCUUUUACUUGCUGUUUAUAUAUGACAUGCCUUUUAAAGUCAUAAAGCAGUGAAAAAUUGGGAUCAAGUGUAAAAAUUUUGUUGUGAUUGAAAUAACUGUUGACCUAGUUCAGGGUAGAACAGAAAACCCAGAGUGUAUGAGGACUUAAGAAUUACAACCUGUGUGUUAU